Molecule: long non-coding RNA, 46978 nt
Filed under: Sorghum bicolor (sorghum)
Lineage: Eukaryota; Viridiplantae; Streptophyta; Magnoliopsida; Poales; Poaceae
Description: long non-coding RNA (SBIC_LNC000741)
Rfam family: Plant small nucleolar RNA R71 (bases 12434-12540)
Source: RNAcentral
UACUAGAGUAACCCCGUUGCGGAAGUUACUACUGACCUUCUGCCGGUCAAGAGAGGCGAUCCAGGACGCCCCGUCAUCCCGAUUUCCAUCAGCAUGGUGGACUUCCCAGAAGCACUAUGCGACUUUGGCUCUAGUAUCAACAUUAUCCCCAGGGUACUCUAUGGAAAAUUCUUUACAUAUCCUUUAUUAGAAACAACCAUGUGUUUGCAGCUUGCAGAUCAGACGUUAAGUUUCCCAAAGGGAAUAUUGAAGAACCUUUGCGUCCGAGUUGGUACCUUGUACGCCCCAGCAGACUUCGUGGUGAUAGAGACCGGUAAUGAUGAGAGGGCACACGUCAUCUUAGGGCGGCCAUUCCUGAAUACCUCAGGAGCUGUCAUCUACACUAGUGCUGCCAAGAUCAGUUUCUACAUCAAAGGGAGGAAGGAGAUGUUUUCCUUCAAGAACAAGACUACACAAAUCCCAGAACAAUCUCGACAUGAACCAAGGAAGAGGACCAACAGGAAGAACAGGAACAAGCAAGUGUGGACCGAGUCAGCUAGGAUGGUCACUGCAGUUCAUGGAGGUUAAGAUCACUGACUCAAGUCACUGUUCCUGACCAAGAAGGACGACCCAGGUAUGCCAAGCAUGCAUUGCUCCAUUAAUGGAUACAACUUCUACAAGACACUUUGCGACACCGGGUCGGGCGUCAACAUAUUGGCCGCAGUCACCUAUAAGCUCUUGUUCGGAACCAUGCCCCUAAAACCAACAUAUAUUCAGCUCCAGAUGGCAGAUCAAACAUUCUGAAAGUUUGAAGGUAUAGUAACUGAUGUCCCUGUUAAAAUAGAUGAUCAUUUUGUCCAUACAGACUUUCAGGUUAUUGACAUGGGAGAAGAUGAGUACGAUCCACCCAUCAUCCUUGGGAGACCGUUCCUCAGCACCGUUAAAGUAAUUAUCUACAUUGGAACUGGAGAAGUCCACAUGCACUUCCCCUCUGAGAAGGUACGCAGCUACUUUACUAACCCUAACUAUAUAGUUGAAGACUCUAAGCAGGUCAGGACAAGAAGAAGACGACACAACCGCUAUCAGAGGAGGCAAAUCAUCAAGGAUGGAUGGGCAGCCUACGAAAAAGAAGUGGUAAGGUCUAAAGACAUACAGCUUGAACAGAAUUGUCCUAAGGAGGCCGUAGCACCGAGUCAGGUGUGGAGAGAGAAGAUAGUUAUACACAAAGAAGAGGCGCCGCCGGAACUACCGACUACGCCAUCCAACGAAUCCCAGGACGCUUGAGAAAACAGAGAGUCCCGUUCGGAGGACUUAAAAACACCGAACGCCUUGCCAAGAGGUAAACUUGGUAGUUAUCCUUUUCUUUUCAAUUAUUUAAAAUAGUUUGCUUAGUUAAUCAUGUUCAUACUAUCCUAAAAAGAAAAUAAAAAUGUUAAAAAAUAGUAAGCCCCAUGUGAGUAUAUGAGUGUCAUAAAACCCAUAAGUACAUUCACUGUGGUGGCAUAAAAAUAAAAUAAAUAAUUUUUCUGCUUUAUAAAAUGAAAAUAUAAAAAAUAGAGAGUAACACUUAUUGAGGAGGCUCAACAUGAUAAAGGCUAGAUAUUUAUGCUAACACCUAAUCAGUUCCACAAAGCUUUGUUGUCUAUUUGAGCUCCACAGAAUUCAAGGAUCAAGAAGACUGGCAGACGAAGGACAUUCUAAUCGCUGUCACGGUACUGCCGACUUUCAAAUACACCUUUGCCACCUGCUAUCUAUAUCAGAAGAAAUUACUUCAAAAUUCAGCUUGGGGGAGAGCACCCCCAUUUAUCUCGCUAAGUAUUUCUAUCUAUAUACUUAUACUAUAUUAAAAUAAAAAUAUACAUAACCAUGAAAAACCAAAUAAAGAUUUUGUGUUUAUAUAUAUAUAUGUCUUUUGCUUAGUGUGCUUAAUAAAUAAAUAAAGUGGCUAUGCUAAACUGAAUCUAAAUAAUUUUCAAAUUUGAAGUUCUCUCUAGUUUAGACAUAACGGUUAUAAUUUAAAGCUUGCUCUAAACCUGAACUUGUGGGAAGAGAACUUGAUCUGAAGUCUAAGUUGUUAACGGAUAUGAUAUGGGAAGGUUGAGCUGCUGUUUAUCUGUUCCUAGAGAUGCUAGAAUUAUGGAGAAUUUUAUCGUUGAAAUUCUUUAAAAUAACACAUGAUGAGUUCCUGUAUGAUGAGAGUUUAAAUUCCUACCACAACCAUAUAUACAUGCUUGCUAGACUUUGAGCCACACAUUUACUUUUUACUACUUAUGAGCAUUGAGUGUGGUCAAGCUGUGUAGACCCUUAGGAGCUUGUCCUGUGGUUCAAUCAAGAUUCACUUGCACGUUCACUCACACAUGCUGCUUCUACUCCGAAAGUACGCAUCCACAUAUAUCCGCUCAUUUCCAUCUCCAGAACCACCCAAAAGUAUUAUACUCCUAAUCCGGGAGAGAAUAAUCAAAAAUAUUUCUGUUUUUCCCUGUAAAAUAAAUGCUCAAGUUAUCUUGGUUACUACCACUUGCUAUAUUAUUUUAGGAUAGAGUGCUCUAAAAAAAGAGAAAAAGAUACGAGGAAAUAAAAAGGGGCAAGUGCCCGGAACCUCGAAAGAAAAGAAAAAGUGAGACGAGAGGUAAAAAUGGACAAGUGUCCGAUAGUAGAAUUAGGGGUACAAGACACCCACCUGAGAGGAAAGAAAAAUAAAAUAUAGAGCAUCUCAUUCUCCUCAAAAAGUUUCAAAAGAGCAAGAAAGGUAUGUAUCUGCUCAAAAGGGCAAAAAGUAGAAUUAGACUUUCACCAUUGUUAUCACCAUCAUCACCAUACACCAUUCAUUCGCCACACAUGCACAUCUUGAUUUGACUUAUUGACUUGUUUCUCUGGAUCCAUGGUUUGACUAUGCAAUAAAUGUCUUGUAAGUAUGUAUACUUUAUCUUCCACCUAUGAGCUCGAGAUAUCAAAAGCCUUAUUAGAGUAGGAUGAGAGAGAAGGCAAUGUCACUAUGCCUUAUACCACAAAUACUACAUACUUUGAGAGAAGGCAUGUACCGUCACUGCCUUGGUAAGGAUCCAGAAAUGCCACAAAAGAGAGACCUGAGAGAGUCAUACAAGGAAUCUCUGAGUUUUAUUUGAAAAUCUGCAAAAACUCCAGAGCUAUAGCUGAUCAAGAAUAAGAGACAUGGCACUUGACUAGACCGUUCUAUCUUUUAACUGCUCAAGACAGAAGUGACGGUUACAAGUCCCAUGGUGAAAGGUAAAAUGAGUAAGUUUUAAAUCUUGACAGUUUACUCAAACUCAGAGAUGAGACCUCAUUUGAAAGCAUGUGUACCGUCAACUUUUAAAGGCAUUAUAGCAACUUCUGAUCCAUCACUGAGAUUAUCUUUGCUCAGGGACGAGCAAGAGGUAAGCUUGGGGGAGUUUGUUGACGGUCCUUAAGUAUCAAAUAUACUCAGCAAAUAAACAAAGAAAAGGAUCCAAAUGCAACCAACAUCCAGAAUUAGGGUUUUAUCUCACAGAAUUCCACGAGUUUUGGUGUUUGUCUAUUUCUGUAGGGGGUUAUCAGGAAUUAUGGAGGAAAGGCCCACAUGUCGGGUUUACAUAGAGAUAUAACGUGCACCACAAUUAUCCAACAUCUAGAAGAGUCCAGAAGCAACGGGAACGAGCGGGAGGCCGAUCGGGCCCGGGGGCAGGGCGCCCGCCCUCCCCCCUUGGGUGCUCGCCCUGGCCUGAGGGCCAAUCAGCUUCCGUCUCGCGGAUCAUGCUCCACCGACCUAAGGGGUUAAGGAAAACCUUGCGACUAAUGUCGGUUUGAUCCAACAGCCCAUAUUCAUUUGAAAGGACUAUAUAAGCAAACCCCCUGGCCCUGGAGGAGAGAGCGAAGAAACCCUAAUUCAUUUAUCCAUCUCGGGAGAAGAAGCCUCUGAUCAAGCCCUAGAGCCACCACAUCAAUAGAUCAAGUUUAGCAUAGCUACAUAGGAUUAGAACUAGAAGGAGUCAAUCUUCGAUUGGUUUCCGGAUCUAUCAAGAGGAUUCUUGGUAAUUCCUCUAUUGUUCAUCAUUGUUCUUCAAUAUUAUGAAUAUGACUUUGUUCUACUUCAAUAUAUUGAUUAUGACUUUGCUCUACUUGUUUAUAUUUGCAAUUAUAUUGUUCUUAGUUUACAUAGUUAUAUGCUUGGCUUAGUUAGAUUAGAAUUAAAUACAUGUUUAGGAUCGUAUAGCGUUUAUCCAUGUGUACAGUGGGUAAAUGGUAAGUAUUGUGUAGGCGUGCUGCCUAUACCGUAUUUAUCUACGAUUGUACCCUAUAUGCCGGAUCGCGGGGCAGUUCAUGGUAGUGACAGCUCCAUUGAUUCUUAUAUAGUCCCUCACUCGUGUAUAGGGCAGGCAGAGCAACAUUAUUAUAGGAGAGUGAUUUCUAUGUUUCUCAUAUUCCUUGAUAAUAUCACUAUGCAUGGGCGUAGUCCUGUCUCGCAAUGAUUGCUAAGUAUAAUUGCACUAACUAUGAUAUUCUAGACUUUAUGGUUAAGAAUAACUUAGGAAAUAUUCUUGUAGUUCAUCCUAAUACCAUGCUAAUGACUUACUAGAAUAUCUAUUGAGGUUCUUAUCAUUAUUAUAUGUGGCUAGUUAUGCUGAUCAAAUUAAUUAUCUUUGUCUCCAUUCAUACUUUAUCUAUCUUUUAUGUGACAUUUAUCCCUGUAUGAAAGAGAUAGAUAAAUGCUCUCAAUUAUACUUGCAAUGAUAGAUACUCAAUUCUAUAUUCCAUUCCAUAUUCAACAUUGAUGAUUAGAAAUCCCUUCCUAGUGGUAAAAAUAUAAAUAACGAUACCUGGAAUACUUACCGGUUAAAAUGCUACAUCGGUAUUAAUCUGUGCGCUUGCAGAUCUCAUUUAUUAUUCAUUUAGAAGAGCAAUUGCAUAUUUCAAUACCGCAUCUCUCAUGUCAUGCUGGGGAUGAUAACUUGGCUUAAGUGGCAUGAGGGAUAGGUUCAGCAUUUUUGGCGCCGUUAUCAGAAUUAGAAAACUAAGUCUACUUUUGGUAAUGACGUUGAGAAUGCCCAACAGUGGCAUGUCUGAUGCUUAGCGUCUAAUGCAUCCGAUGUUUGCUCUAGAAGUUCAUUAACGCUUAAGUGACCGUUGGCGGUCAACGGUGCAUGUUCAAAGAGGGACACAUGGCAGCAAUCUAACGCGCACAACAGGUGAGCGUCGGACACUGGACCACGUGUUGACGGUAAUUAACUCCAAUUUUUAACCAUCAAUUAAUCUAGGAAGAGAUCUGAAACAAUGUAUAAAGUAGGGUUAUAGGGUUUAUUCUUAUGAGUUCCAUGAGUUGUGUUCUUCUCACUUGCCUUAUAGGAUAUUUAAUAUUUUUACCGUAUAAAAGUUUCUCAAGUGGAGAAUCUGAGCACACCAUUGCAGAGAUCGUUGGGACAAUCGAGACGAACAUAUUAUUUGCUAUAUUUGGAGCACCGAAGAGAAAGUCCUCAUUUUGGGACGACCAUUCCUCAGCAUAGUCAAAGCCAUCAUCUAUUCCGACACUGCUAAGAUCUGUUUCACCAUUGGGAAUACCAAGGAGAGAUUCAACUUCAAGCAUCGUAUGCUCACAUCUCGAGUUCAUCCUCAAUGCUUGUAUGACUACUUAGACUACAACAAAAUCCCAUAAAGGAAGAACAAGAUUCUAGAGAAGAAGUCUCAAGAAAAUAAGACCCUAGUUAAGAAGAACGUCUACACUUAUGAGUGCCUCUUACCUAGUCCAAACAAGGAUAAGAAGGGGAAGAGAAAAGCAAAGCAGCCUGUUCAAGAACUAGUUUGGAUGGUCAACACUGUUGAACCACCCAUUGACCCUACUUUCCUCUAUCUCACCUUGAGAAAAUGGAAGACCCUGGAGUACCUACCAUUGAUUGCAUGAUUGAGGGGAGCACCAUCUACAAGAUAUUUUGUGACAUCGGCUCAAGCAUCAACAUCAUGUCUACAGUAACAUAUAAAUAUUUAUAUCAUGAUAGACCUUUGUGCCCAACAUAUUUACAGUUGGAGCUAGCGGAUCAAACAUUCUAAUUUUAUGGAAGGAAUAGCCAAGGAUGUAACAGUCAAGAUCAGGGAUCAAGAGAUUCCCGCGACUUCAUGGUUCUAGACAUGGGUGUUGAAGAUGAAGUCCACCUUAUCCUAGGAAGACCGUUCCUUCACACCCGCGAUCAUCUACAUGAAGCAAGGGGAAAUUCAUUUCCACUUCCCCAGGGAGAAGGUACUGUUGGGUAUUCUUAACAUCAUUACCAAAAGUAGACUAAGUUCUCUAAAUCUAGUAACUGUGCCAAAAAUGCCAAACCUAUCCCUCACACCACUUAAGCCAAGUUGUCAUCCCCAGCAUGACAUGUGAGACGCGGUAUUGAAAUAUGCAAUUGCUCUUCUAAAUAAAUAAUGAAUGGGAUCUGCAAGCGCACAGAUUAAUACCGAUGCAGCAUUUUAACCGGGAAGUAUUCCAGGUAUCGUUAUUUAUAUUUUUACCACUGGGAAGGGAUUAACAAUCAUCAAUAUUGAUUACAGAAUAGAAUAUGAGAUUGAGUAUCUAUCAUUGCAUAUAUAAUUGAGAACAUUAUAUCUAACUCUUCAUACAGGGAUAAGUGUCACAUAAAAGAUAUAUGAAGUAAUAAUAGUGACAAAGAUAAUUAAUCUGAUCUAGCCACAUAAUAAAUAUGAUAAGCACCUCAAUUAGAUACUCUAGAAAGUCAUUAGCAUGGUAUUAGAACGAACUACAAGAAUAUUUCCUAAGUUAUUCUCAACUAUAUAGUCUAGCAUAUCAUAGUUAGUGCAAGCAUACUUAGCAAUCAUUGCGAGACAAGACUACGCCCAUGCAUAGUGAUAUUAGCAAGGUAAAUAAGAAACAUAGCAAUCACUCCCCUGUAAUAAUAUUGCUCUGCCAGCCCAAUACACGAGAGGGGGACUAUAUAAGAAUCAAUGAAGCUGUCACUAUCACGAACCACCCCACGAUCUGGCAUAUUGGGUACAAUCGCAGAUAAAUACGGUAUAAGCACCACGCCUACACAAUAUCUAUCAUUUACCCAUGGAUCCGAUGGAUAAACGCUAUACGAUCCUAAGCAUGUAUAUAGAUCCAAUCUAACUAAGCCAAGUACAUAACUAUGAUAAACUAAGAACAAUAUAAUCUUGAAUAUAAGCAAGUAGAGCAAAGUCAUAAGCAAUAUAUUGAAGUAGAACAAAGUCAUAUUCAUAAUAUUGAAGAACAAAGAUAAUUAGAAAGCAAUUAGAAGCACAAUUAGAGAACUACCAAGAAUCCUCUUGACAGAUCCGGAAACCAAUCGAAGAUUGACUCCUUCUAGUUCUAAUCCUAUGUAGCUAUGCUAAUCUAGAUGUCUAAUUGAUGUGGUGGCUCUAAUCUUGAUCAGAGGCUUCUUCUCCCUUGAGGAACAAUGAAUUAGGGUUGAGAGGCUCUCUCCUCUAGGGGCCAGGGGGUCUGGUUUUAUAGUCCCUUCAAGUGAAUAUGGGCUGUUGGAUCAAACUGACAUAGAUUGUAUGGUUUAGAUUCAUCCUUUAGGUCGGUGGAGAUCUCCCACGAAGCAGAGUCCUGAUUGGACUCAGGAGGUGGGCGGGCGCCCUGAUCACCUGGGCGGGCGCCCAGGGUCAGGCCCCCUUUCGCCUCCGCUUCGGUCUCGUGGCUUCUGGAGUCUUCUAGAUGUAAGAUAAUUGCGCGACACGUUAAUAUCUCUAUGUAAUCCCGACGUGUGGGCCUUUCUUCCGUAUUUCCUGAUAACCCCCUGCAGAAAUAGACAAACACCAAAACUCGUGGAAUUCUGUUAGAUAAAACCCUAAGUCUAGAUGUUGAUUUCAUUUGGAUCCUUUUAUUUGUUUAUUUGAUAAUUAAAUUUGAUACUUAAGGACCGUCAACAAACUCCCCCAAGCUUACCUCUUGCUCGUCCCUGAACAAGGAUAGACUUAGCUAUGGAUCAUAAGUUGUUGCAUUUUUUUUUAAAAUUUGACGGUACACAUGCUUUUUUUUAAAUAAGAUCUCAUCUCUGAGCUAGAGUAAACUGUCAAGACUUAAAACUUACUUACUUUACCUCUACCAUGGGACUUGUAACUGUCACUUCUGUCUUGAGUAGUUAAAAGAUAGAACAGUCUAGCCAAGUGCCAUGUCUCUUAUUCUUGAUCAGCUAUAACUCUAGAGUUUUUGCAGAUUUUCAAAUAAAACUCAGAAUUCCAUAUAUGACUCUCUCAAAUCUCUCUUUUGUGGUAUUUCUGGAUCCUUACCAAGGCAGUGAUGGUGUAUGCCUUCUCUCAAGAUAUGUGGCAUUUAUGGUAUAAGGCAUAAUAACAUUGCCCUCUCUCUCACCCUACUCUUAUAAGGCUUUAAUAUCUGGAGCUCAUAGGUGGGAAAUAAAAUAUACAUACUUACAAGACAUUUAUUGCAUAAACAAACCAUGGAUCCAAAGAAACAAAUCAAUAAGCCAAAUCAAGAUGUGCAUGUGUGGCGAAUGAAUGGUGUAUGGUGAUAACAAUGAUGGAAACAAUGGUGGUGGAAGUCUAAUUCUACUUUGCUCUUUGAGGGGAUACAUACCUUCCUUGCUUUUUGAAACUUUAUGAGGAGAAUGAGAUGCUCUUCUUUUUCUUUUCUCUCAGGUGGGUAUCUUGUACCCCUAAUUCUACUGUCGGACACUUGUCCAUUUUUACCUCUCGUCUCACUUUUUUCUUUUCUUUCGAGGUUCCGAGCACUUGCUCCUUUUUAUUUCCUCGUUUUUUUAGAGCACUCAUCUCAUGAGAUAAGAUAGCAAGUGGUAGUAACAAGAUAACUUGAGCAUUUAUUUCACAAGGGAAAACAGGAAUAUUUUUGGUUAUUCUCUCCCGGAUUAGGAGUAGAAUAUUUUUGGGUGAUUCUGGAGAUGGAAAUGGAUGGAUAUAUGUGGAUGGUACUUCCGGAGUAGAAGUAGAAUAUAUGAGUGAACGUGCAAGUGAAAUCUUGAUUUAACCACAUGACAAGCUCCUAAGGGUCUACACAGCUUGACCACACUCAAUGCUCAUAAGCAAUAAAUAGUAAAUGUGUGGCUCAAAGUCUAGCAAGCAUGUAUAUAUGGCUGUGGUAGGAAUUUAAAACUCUCAUCAUACAGGAACUCAUCAUGCAACAUUUUAAAGAUUUCCAAAGAUAAAAUUCUCCAGAAUUCUAGCAUCUCUAGAAACAGAUAAACAGCAGCUCAACCUUCCCAUAUCGUAUCCGUUAACAACUUAGACUUCAGAUCAAGUUUUCAUCCCACAAGUUUAGGUCUAGAUCAAGCUUUAAAUUAUAACAGUUAUAUCUAAACUUGAGAGAGAACUUAAAAUGUGCAAAUUAGGCAGAGCAACUAUUCAUCAUAUCCAUGCUUGAGUUUUAUUUAGAUACAGAUUAGCCAGUUAUAUCUAAACUUGAGAGAGAACUUAAAAUGUGCAAAUUAGGCAGAGCAACUAUUCAUCAUAUCCAUGCUUGAGUUUUAUUUAGAUACAGAUUAGCAUAGCCACUUUAUUUAUUUAUUAAACACACUAAGCAAAAGAUAUAUAUAUAUAUAAGCACAAAAUCUUUAUUUGGUUUUUCAUAGUUAUGUAUAUUUAUAUUCUAUAAUAAUAUAAGUAUAAAGAUAGAUAGAUAGAAAUACUUAUCGAGAUAAACGAGGGUGCUCUCCCCCAAGCUGAAUUUUUGACGUAAUUUCUCUUGAUGUAGCUAGCAGGUGGCAGAGGUGUAUUUGAAAGUCAGCAGCAUUCUGACAGCGAUUAGAAUGUCCUCCGUCUGCUAGUCUUCUUGAUUCUUAAAUUCUGUGGAGCUCAAAUAGACAACAAAGCUUGUGGAACUUGAUUAAGUGUUAGCAUAAAUAUCUAGCCUUUAUCAUGUUGAGACUCCUUAAUAAUUAUUACUCCCUGUUUUAUAUUUUCGUUUUAUAAAGCAGAAAAGAAAUUUUUAUUUUAUUUUUAUGCCACCACAGUGAAUGUACUUAUGGGUUUUAUGCCACUCGUCUACUCACAUGGGGCUUACUGUUUUUCACAUUUUUAUUUUUCUUUUUAGGAUAGCACGAACAUGAUUAACUAAGUCAACUAAUUGACAUAAUUGAAAGAGAAAGGAUAACUACCAAGUUUACCUCUUGGCAAGGCGUUCGGUGUUUUUAAGUCCUCCGAACGGGACUCCGUUUUCUCAAUUGUCCUGAGGUUCGUUGGGUGGCGUAGUCGGUACUUCCGGCAGUGCCUCCUCUUCAUGUAUAGUUAUCUUCAUUUUCCACACCUGACUUGGUGUUUCAAUCUCCUCUAGAUAAUUCUGUUUAAACUCUAUGUCUUCUGACCUUAUCACUUCUUCUUCGUAGUCUUCCCAUCCGUCCUUGAUGAUCUGCCUCCUCUGGUUGCGGUUACGUCGCUUUCUUACCUGCUUAGAUUCUUCAACGAUAUAGUUAGGGUCAGUAAAAUAACGGCGUACCUUCUCUAAGGGGAAGUGCAUAUGGACUUCUCCGGUUCCAAUGUAGAUAAUUGCUUUAACGGUGCUGAGGAACGGUCUUCCAAGGAUGAUUGGUGGAUCGUACUCGUCUUCUCCCAUGUCAAUAACUUGAAAGUCUGUGUAGACAAAAUGAUCGUCUAUUUUGACUGGGACAUCAGUUACUGUUCCUUUAACGUCUCGAAAUGUCUGAUCUGCCAUCUGGAGCUGAAUGUAUGUUGGUCUUAGGGGCAUGGUCCCGAACAAGAGCCGAUAGGUGACUGCGGCCAUUAUGUUGACGCCCGAUCCGGUGUCACAAGUUGCCUUGUAGAAGUUGUUGUAACGUCCCGCCUCCACGAGGCCGGGCCCGCUUACAUCUGGCAGCUUUUCUAGGACAUAGUCAGCCCCCACAGACCAACACUAGUCUUUUUUGCACACUUUGUCCUCACUCGUGCGCACCCAGGAAGUACUUCCCGGUCGGUCACCCAUCCCUAAAUUGCUCUAGGCCAAGCACGCUUAACUUUAGAGUUCUUUGGAGAUGGGCUCCCGGAAAAGAAGUUGCAACUUGUUUGUAUGAGUCUCCUAUUAAUCCUAUUAAGCCUUGGGCCGGGUGUUACAGUUGUAUCCAUUUAUGGAGCAGUAAAUGCUUAGCAUUCCUGGGUCGUCCUUCUUGGUCAAAAACGGUGACUUAAGUUGAUGAUCUUGGCCUCCAUGAACUACAGUGACUAUCUUAGCUGACUCGGUCCACACUUGCUUGUUCCUGUUCCUCCUGUUGGUCCUCUUCCUUGACUCACGUCUGGAUUGAUCUAGAAUUUGUGUAGUCUUGUUCUUGAAGAAAAAUGUCUCCUUCCUCCCUUUGACGUAGAAACUGAUCUUGGCAGCAUUAGCGUAGAUGAUAGCUCCCAUUGUGUUCAAGAAUGGCCUUCCUAAGAUGAUAGGGCUCUCUCAUCAUUUCCGGUCUCUACCACUACAAAGUCUGCUAGGGCAUAUAAGGUACCAACUCGGACACAAGGGUUCUUCAAUAUUCUCUUUGGAAAAGUUAUCGUCUGAUCUGCAAACUGCAAACACAUGGUUGUUUCUAAUAAAGGAUAUGUAAAGAAUUUUUCAUAGAGUACCCUGGGUAUAAUGUUGACACUGGAGCCAAAGUCAUAGAGUGCUUCUGGAACGUCCACCAUGCCGAUGGAGAUCGGGAUGACGGGGCGUCCUGGAUCGCCUCUUUUGAUCGGCAGAAGGUCAGUAGAGAAUUCAGUGACGGGGUUACUCCAAUUACCUGCAUCAAACAUGUCUACAAGAUUUGCAGAUUUCAAUCCUUUCGGUUGUGAUGGUAUACCGGGGUUAGUAGUAGGAACAGCAGCAGCUAUUUGAUUUAACUGAGAUUCAAUCAUUUUAUUAAAGCUAAUUUGAUUCUUGAUGGCAGUAGAGAAAUUAUCCAUUCUAUUAUUUAUAUUUUCUAGCAGUUUAUCAUUAGGUGCCAAUUUCUUAGAUAGGUUAUCCAUUAGCUUUCCUUGAUUAGACACUAACUCUCUCAGAGGUGGAAAAUUAUUAUUAUUGUUGUAAGAAUUGUUACCUUGAUAAUUACCUGAGUAGUUAGGCCUCUGUUGAUUCCAACCUUGAUUUUGUUGAGGACGGUUGUAGUGGUUGUUGUUGUUGAUGAUGAUGUAGUUCACAUCCUCAAGCAUCUCAGGGCAGUGAUUGCCUGAGUGUCUAGUGUCUCCACACUCCUCACAAGUCAUGUGAGAGUCGUAGAUGUGCAUAACUUCUUUCUUAUCUCCAGCUCUAUCAUCGAGCUUCUUCAUGAGCAGGUCUAGCUUUGCAGACAGCAUGUCUGCCUCCUUCAGCUGAUGCAUACCUCCACCUCUCUUGCGUGUCUGGGUCCUCUCUUCAUUCCAGCUUUGGUUGGACGCCAUCUUCUCCACAAGAGCUGUGGCUUGUGGUAUAGUAAGUGAUAAGAAUGCUCCUCCAGCUGCAGCAUCCAUGGUCUCACGGGCACUGUUGCCGAGCCCAUGAUAAAACGUCUGCAUCAAUAGCCAACUCUCCAUUCCAUGAUGGGGACAUUCUAGGAUGUAGUCUUAAAAGCGCUCCCAUGCUUCUAGAACAGAUUCAUCAUUUUGUUGCUGAAGACUCAUAAUCUUCCCACGGAGAGCAUUGGUCUUGCCCAUGGGAAAGAACUUUGCCAGGAAGUUUGUUGAGCAGAGUGCCCAUGUAGUAUUCUUCUCCUUUGUAGCGUAGAACCACUGCUUCGCUCUUCCUAACAGUGAGAAUGGGAAGAGGCGAAGUAGUAUAGCAUCUUUGGAAACUCCUGAUAUGGUGAAUGUGUUGCAAAUCUCCAGGAAGUGUUGUAAAUGAGCACUAGCAUCUUCGUGUGCCUUCCCACAGGCUUGAGCUCAAAGUUGCCAUCGAUACGUCCAUGCUUGAGCUCAAGGUUGGAUUGCACCAUGUUGAUAAGUCCAGGCUUGAGCUCAAAGUUGCCAUCGAUCUCUGCAGCAGGUCCAGUGCGGAUGUUGUCCGUAGUGGGAGCUGAGAACUCGCGGAUUGAUUUGUUCGCCCUGGCCUCGAACUCUGAAGACAAGUUCCGGUGAUCUUCUUGAUUGGAUGAAGCUUCUUGCUGAAGUGUUGAUGAUCUCUUCUUGAGCUUGGCUCUCGUCUUCUUGAAUAAUGCUUCGGGAUUGUCAACAAAAUUUCCUGGAAGAUGUCUUCUAUUCAUACAUUCCCCUGCAUAAGAUAAAAUAGAAAAUAUCAGGGUAAAACUGUAUGAGAGAAUAGAUAAGCUCAAUCAUAUUAGUGAUGCGAAUGAUAACUCAAAAUCUUUUAUUCCAUUCCUGAUUAGUAAUCAACCUUCCUCGGCAACGGCGCCAAAAAUGCUUGUUGGGUAUUCUUAACAUCAUUACCAAAAGUAGACUAAGUUAUCUAAAUCUAGUAACGGUGCCAAAAAUGCCAAACCUAUCCCUCACACCACUUAAGCCAAGUUGUCAUCCCCAGCAUGACAUGAGAGACGCGGUAUUGAAAUAUGCAAUUGCUCUUCUAAAUAAAUAAUGAAUGGGAUCUGCAAGCGCACAGAAUAAUACCGAUGCAGCAUUUUAACCGGGAAGUAUUCCAGGUAUCGUUAUUUAUAUUUUUACCACUGGGAAGGGAUUAACAAUCAUCAAUAUUGAUUACAGAAUAGAAUAUGAGAUUGAGUAUCUAUCAUUGCAUAUAUAAUUGAGAACAUUAUAUCUAACUCUUCAUACAGGGAUAAGUGUCACAUAAAAGAUAUAUGAAGUAAUAAUAGUGACAAAGAUAAUUAAUCUGAUCUAGCCACAUAAUAAAUAUGAUAAGCACCUCAAUUAGAUACUCUAGAAAGUCAUUAGCAUGGUAUUAGAACGAACUACAAGAAUAUUCCCAAAGUUAUUCUCAACUAUAUAGUCUAGCAUAUCGUAGUUAGUGCAAGCAUACUUAGCAAUCAUUGCGAGACAAGACUACGCCCAUGCAUAGUGAUAUUAGCAAGGUAAAUGAGAAUCAUAGCAAUCACUCCCCUGUAAUAAUAUUGCUCUGCCAGCCCAAUACACGAGAGGGGGACUAUAUAAGAAUCAAUGAAGCUGUCACUAUCACGAACCACCCCACGAUCUGGCAUAUUGGGUACAAUCGCAGAUAAAUACGGUAUAAGCACCACGCCUACACAAUAUCUAUCUUUUACCCAUGGAUCCGAUGGAUAAACGCUAUACGAUCCUAAGCAUGUAUAUAGAUCCAAUCUAACUAAGCCAAGUACAUAACUAUGAUAAACUAAGAACAAUAUAAUCUUGAAUAUAAGCAAGUAGAGCAAAGUCAUAAGCAAUAUAUUGAAGUAGAACAAAGUCAUAUUCAUAAUAUUGAAGAACAAAGAUAAUUAGAAAGCAAUUAGAAGCACAAUUAGAGAAUUACCAAGAAUCCUCUUGACAGAUCCAGAAACCAUUCGAAGAUUGACUCCUUCUAGUUCUAAUCCUAUGUAGCUAUGCUAAUCUAGAUGUCUAAUUGAUGUGGUGGCUCUAAUCUUGAUCAGAGGCUUCUUCUCCCUUGAGGAACAAUGAAUUAGGGUUGAGAGGCUCUCUCCUCUAGGGGCCAGGGGGUCUAGUUUUAUAGUCCCUUCAAGUGAAUAUGGGCCGUUGGAUCAAACCGACAUAGAUUGUAUGGUUUAGAUUCAUCCUUUAGGUCGGUGGAGAUCUCCCACGAAGCAGAGUCCUGAUUGGACUCAGGAGGUGGGCGGGCGCCCUGAUCACCUGGGCGGGCGCCUAGGGUGAGGCCCCGUUUCGCCUCCGCUUCGGUCUCGUGGCUUCUGGAGUCUUCUAGAUGUAAGAUAAUUGCGCGGCACGUUAAUAUCUCUAUGUAAUCCUGACGUGUGGGCCUUUCUUCCGUAUUUCCUGAUAACCCCCUGCAGAAAUAGACAAACACCAAAACUCGUGGAAUUCUGUCAGAUAAAACCCUAAGUCUAGAUGUUGAUUUCAUUUGGAUCCUUUUCUUUGUUUAUUUGAUAAUUAAAUUUCAUACUUAAGGAGCGUCAACAGGUACACUAUUAUUUUAAUAGUUAUACUACUUAUGAGAAGUCUAAGAAGAACAGGAAUAGGAGACACCGCUCUUAGUGUAAAAAAACAGCAAGCCAUCAAAGAAGGGGCUGAUCAGGAAGAGGAAGCUAAUGAAGGAUAAGCUGCUCUAGAGGCUAAAGAAGAAGAGAAGUUUCUUGAUGAGGAACUACACGAAGAGAAACCGAGAACCAAAAAAGUGUGGUGAAAGAAAUAGAUACCAUCACCAAGCACUCCAACAUAAGAAGAGGGAUCGCUAUCUCCGGGUUCACCAGAUACUCAGGUAUAGACAAAAAAGGAGAAAUCAAGGGAGGAUUAUGUCCCCUCAGACAUCCCCUCAAAUGCGUGAUCAAGCCAAAAGGUCCGAUUUGACAGAUCUAAAUCUCUGAACCUUCGCCGAAAGGUUACAUCGGCAGUUAUUAUCAUAUUUAGUUUCCAGCAUAAGUUUUUAUUUUAGCAUAUUUAUUUUCCAUAUUUAAGCCAUAAGCAUUCAGCAUGUUUAUAUUGCAUUGAAAAGAAAACCAAAAUUUAUUUUGUUGCAUCAUAGCAUUGCAUCUAAAAAACCUUAAGCCCCAUGUAAAUAAGUCUCGGCUAUUUACUAUGGAGGCAUAAAAAUAAUUUUGCAUCUGCAUACAAAAAUAGAAAACCCAAAAAAUAUACCGAGAGCCUGUAAAAAAUUGCUUAACUGAAAAUUAAUAAAGUUUCUAAAAUGGAUAAGGCAUAAAUGGUUUUACCACUAACGCUUAAUCUGUUCCACGAGCUUUGUUGUCUAUUAGAGGUAAGACAGGAUUCAACAAGAAUAGUUAGAAUUUUUCACCCACUCUGGAAAGACCUCUUCAUCAAUCAUCCACUUUUGGAAACCUAGAGGGACAGAUAACAUCUAUGUUAUCGAGAUUCAAGAUGAAGGACUACGUUAACAUCCAGCUUGGGGAGGAGCAUCCUCCAUGUAUCUAGCUAAGUAUUUUAUUUCCUUAAGUGUGAUUUAUUUUUUUAAAGAAAGAUAAAUAAACAAAAUAAAAAUAGACUAUUAUAUCUAUAUCUAUUAAAUUAUUAGGUAAUAAAAAGAGAGUGUACAAGUUUGUUUAACCUACCCUUGAAUAAUUAAGCUCUAGAUAACCUAUUUGCAUGGAGAUGAUGAAUAGUUGCUCUAUUGUAAUCCCUUUCAAGUGCUUAGUGUUCAACCCUACAUUCUCCCGAGUUUUAGGUUAAGAUUGUUUUGACAUGAAGAUUUGCUCUAAACCUGAAAACUUGUGGGUUGCCAAAAGCUUGAUCUAAGUCUAAGUGUUCACCAAGUAUCAUAUGAAAAGGUUUUCAGCUGCUAUUUAUCUUGUUCCUGGUAAUACUAGAUUUCUGAAUAUUUAUCUUUUGAAAAAUCUAAAAUUACCACAUGAUGAGUUCUUGUAUGAUGAGUGUUGACGGUCCUUAAUGCUCACAUUUAACCAUCAACUAAUCAUGGAAAAGGAUCCAAAUGCAACCAACACCCUGACUUAGGGUUUUAUCUGACAGAAUUCCACGAGUUUUGGUGUUUGUCUAUUUCUGCAGGGGGUUAUCAGGAAAUACGGAGGAAAGGCCCACACGUCGGGUUUACAUAGAGAUAUUAACGUGUGCGCCAAUUUUCUAUCAUCUAGAAGACUCCAGAAGCCACGGGAACGAACGGGAGGCCGAUCAGGCCCGAAGGCAGGGCGCCUACCCUCCCCCCUUGGGCGCCUGCCCAGCUACAGGAACCAAUCAGCUUCAACUUCACGGAUCAUGUUCCACCGACCUAAUGGAUCAAGGAAAACCUUGCGAUUAAUGUCGGUUUGAUCCGACGACCCAGAUUCACCUAAGGGGACUAUAUAAGCAGACCCCCACCAGCCCCUGGAGGCAUACCUCUUCUACAGAAUCAAAGUUAGGGUUUCAAUUCUUCAUCCAAGUAGAGAGGAUCCCUCUAGUUCAUCUAGUUCUAGUUCUAGUUCCUCUAGUUCUAGUUAGUUCUAGUUGUAAUCUAGAAAAUAGGCAGAGAGAAGAGGAGAACGGAGGAGGAGCCAGAUCUGUCGGAUCUUCCUCAAUAUUAUACUUUUGCAGCAACUGGUUCAUUCUUCAUCGUUCUCCAAGUUCUUCAAUUCAUAAUUAUUGAGUUCUUUAAUUACUUUUAUUUACAUUUAAGUUAUUUAUUGGAUUUCCGCUUGCAUCAAGUGCUCUAGUCUUUAUAACGCUAGAGUAGUAAUUAAUAGAUUAGACGUGGUGUUUAGUCUUGCAAUUACCUGGAAUUGCACCCAAUCCUGCGGAUUGUUGUGGUAGCCCUAGGGUAGUGACAGCCCUAACGGUCAACGUAUUCCACCUCGUUCUGAUCGGUGUUUGUAGGACCGUAGUCAGAGCUUCCUAGCCCCCUUCUCAUCUCUUUCUGUGGUUAGUGUUUUGAUGUCCCGAAAUAAAUAAUCUUUGAAGUAAUUCUUGAUUCUUAGAUCAACUAGAGAAAUCUCAGGAAACUUUCUCUGUUCCCACCAAAAAUAAUUAUAUAGUUAUCCUUGGGUGAUCUUGAAUCUUAAUUAGUACACUCACGUUCCCUGUGGAAAAUAGAUACUCUGGAAUACUCCCGGGUGAACGCUACAUCGGUAUCUGUGCGCUUGCGGAUUUUUCUGUUUGCAGUUAAAAUACCCAACAAGCUUUCUGGCGCCGUUGCCGGGGAACGGUAGAAACCGAGAACCAAAAAAGUGUGGUGAAAGAAAGAGAUACCAUCACCAAGCACUCCAACAUAAGAAGAGGGACCGCUAUCUCCGGGUUCACCUGAUACUCAGGUAUAGACAAAAAAGGAGAAAUCAAGGGAGGAUUAUGUCCCCUCAGACAUCCCCUCAAAUGCGUGAUCAAGCCAAAAGGUCCGAUUUGACAGAUCUAAAACUCUGAACCUUCGCCGAAAGGUUACAUCGGCAGUUAUUAUCAUAUUUAGUUUCCAGCAUAAGUUUUUAUUUUAGCAUAUUUAUUUUCCAUAUUUAAGCCAUAAGCAUUCAGCAUGUUUAUAUUGCAUUGAAAAGAAAAACAAAAUUUAUUUUGUUGCAUCAUAGCAUUGCAUCUAAAAAACCUUAAGCCCCAUGUAAAUAAGUCUCGGCUAUUUACUAUGGAGGCACAAAAAUAAUUUUUCAUCUGCAUACAAAAAUAGAAAACCCAAAAAAUAUACCGAGAGCCUGUAAAAAAUUGCUUAACUGAAAAUUAAUAAAGUUUCUAAAAUGGAUAAGGCAUAAAUGGUUUUACCACUAACGCUUAAUCUGUUCCACGAGCUUUGUUGUCUAUUUGAGGUAAGACAGGAUUCAACAAGAAUAGUUAGAAUUUUUCACCCACUCUGGAAAGACCUCUCCAUCAAUCAUCCACUUUUGGAAACCUAGAGGGACAGAUAACAUCUAUGUUAUCGAGAUUCAAGAUGAAGGACUACGUUGACAUCCAGCUUGGGGAGGAGCAUCCUCCAUGUAUCUAGCUAAGUAUUUUAUUUCCUUAAGUGUGAUUUAUUUUUUUAAAGAAAGAUAAAUAAACAAAAUAAAAAUAGACUAUUAUAUCUAUUAUCUAUUAAAUUAUUAGGUAAUAAAAAGAGAGUGUACAGGUUUGUUUUACCUACCCUUGAAUAAUUAAUCUCUUGAUAACCUAUUUGCAUGGAGAUGAUGAAUAGUUGCUGUAUUGUAAUCCCUUUCAAGUGCUUAGUGUUCAACCCUAGAUUCUCCCGAGUUUUAGGUUAAGAUUGUUUUGACAUGAAGAUUUGCUCUAAACCUAAAAACUUGUGGGUUGCCAAAAGCUUGAUCUAAGUCUAAGUGUUCACCAAGUAUCAUAUGAAAAGGUUUUCAGCUGCUAUUUAUCUUGUUCCUGGUAAUACUAGAUUUCUGAAUAUUUAUCUUUUGAAAAAUCUAAAAUUACCACAUGAUGAGUUCUUGUAUGAUGAGUGUUGACGGUCCUUAAUGCUCACAUUUAACCAUCAACUAAUCAUGGAAAAGGAUCCAAAUGCAACCAACACCCAGACUUAGGGUUUUAUCUAACAGAAUUCCACGAGUUUUGGUGUUUGUCUAUUUCUGCAGGGGGUUAUGAGGAAAUACGGAGGAAAGGCCCACACAUCGGGUUUACAUAGAGAUAUUAACGUGUGCGCCAAUUUUCUAUCAUCUAGAAGACUCCAGAAGCCACGGGAACGAACGGGAGGCCGAUCAGGCCCGGGGGCAGGGCGCCUGCCCUCCCCCGUUGGGCGCCUGCCCAGCUACACGAACCAAUCAGCUUCAACUUCACAGAUCGUGCUCCACCGACCUAAGGGAUCAAGGAAAACCGUGCGAUUAAUGUCGGUUUGAUCCGACGACCCAGAUUCACCUGAGGGGACUAUAUAAGCAGACCCCCACCAGCCCCUGGAGGCAUACCUCUUCUACAGAAUCAAAGUUAGGGUUUCAAUUCUUCAUCCAAGUAGAGAGGAUCCCUCUAGUUCAUCUAGUUCUAGUUCUAGUUCCUCUAGUUCUAGUUAGUUCUAGUUGUAAUCUAGAAAAUAGAGAGAGAGAAGAGGAGAGCGGAGGAGGAGGAGCCAGAUCUGUCGGAUCUUCCUCAAUAUUAUACUUUUGCAGCAACUGGUUCGUUCUUCAUCGUUCUCCAAGUUCUUCAAUUCAUAAUUCCUGAGUUCUUUAAUUACUUUUAUUUACAUUUAAGUUAUUUAUUGGAUUCCCGCUUGCAUCAAGUGCUCUAGUCUUUAUAACGCUAGAGUAGUAAUUAAUAGAUUAGACGUGGUGUUUAGUCUUGCAAUUACCUGGAAUUGCACCCAAUCCUGCGGAUUGUUGUGGUAGCCCUAGGGUAGUGACAGCCCUAACGGUCGACGUAUUCCACCUCGUUCGGAUCGGUGUUUGUAGGACCGUAGUCAGAGCUUCCUAGCCCCCUUCUCAUCUCUUUCUGUGGUUAGUGUUUUGAAGUCCCGAAAUAAAUAAUCUUUGAAGUAAUUCUUGAUUCUUAAAUCAACUAGAGAACUCUCAGGAAACUUUCUCUCUUCACACGAAAAAUAAUUAUAUAGUUAUCCUUGGGUGAUCUUGAAUCUUAAUUAGUACACUCACGUUCCCUGUCGAAAAUAGAUACUCUGGAAUACUCCCGGUGAACGUUACAUCGGUAUCUGUGCGCUUGCGGAUUUUUAUGUUUGCGUUUAAAAUACCCAACAAGCUUUGUGGCGCCGUUGCCGGAGAACGGUAGAAACCGAGAACCAAAAAAGUGUGGUGAAAGAAAGAGAUACCAUCACCAAGCAGUCCAACAUAAGAAGAGGGACCGCUAUCUCCGGGUUCACCAGAUACUCAGGUAUAGACAAAAAAGGAGAAAUCAAGGGAGGAUUAUGUCCCCUCAGACAUCCCCUUAAAUGCGUGAUCAAGCCAAAAGGUCCGAUUUGACAGAUCUAAAUCUCUGAACCUUCGCCGAAAGGUUACAUCGGCAGUUAUUAUCAUAUUUAGUUUCCAGCAUAAGUUUUUAUUUUAGCAUAUUUAUUUUCCAUAUUUAAGCCAUAAGCAUUCAGCAUGUUUAUAUUGCAUUGAAAAGAAAACCAAAAUUUAUUUUGUUGCAUCAUAGCAUUGCAUCUAAAAGACCUUAAGCCCCAUGUAAAUAAGUCUCGGCUAUUUACUAUGGAGGCACAAAAAUAAUUUUGCAUUUGCAUACAAAAAUAGAAAACCCAAAAAAUAUACCGAUAGCCUGUAAAAAAUUGCUUAACUGAAAAUUAAUAAAGUUUCUAAAAUGGAUAAGGCAUAAAUGGUUUUACCACUAACGCUUAAUCUGUUCCACGAGCUUUGUUGUCUAUUUGAGGUAAGACAGGAUUCAACAAGAAUAGUUAGAAUUUUUUACCCACUCAGGAAAGACCUCUUCAUCAAUCAUCCACUUUUGGAAACCUAGAGGGACAGAUAACAUCUAUGUUAUCGAGAUUCAAGAUGAAGGACUACGUUAACAUCCAGCUUGGUGAGGAGCAUCCUCCAUGUAUCUAGCUAAGUAUUUUAUUUCCUUAAGUGUGAUUUAUUUUUUUAAAGAAAGAUAAAUAAACAAAAUAAAAAGGGACUAUUAUAUCUAUUAUCUAUUAAAUUAUUAGGUAAUAAAAAGAGAGUGUACAAGUUUGUUUUACCUACCCUUGAAUAAUUAAGCUCUAGAUAACCUAUUUGCAUGGAGAUGAUGAAUAGUUGCUCUAUUGUAAUCCCUUUCAAGUGCUUAGUGUUCAACCCUAGAUUCUCCCGAGUUUUAGGUUAAGAUUGUUUUGACAUGAAGAUUUGCUCUAAACCUGAAAACUUGUGGGUUGCCAAAAGCUUGAUCUAAGUCUAAGUGUUCACCAAGUAUCAUAUGAAAAGGUUUUCAGCUGCUAUUUAUCUUGUUCCUGGUAAUACUAGAUUUCUGAAUAUUUAUCUUUUGAAAAUCUAAAAUUACCACAUGAUGAGUUCUUGUAUGAUGAGUGUUGACGGUCCUUAAUGCUCACAUUUAACCAUCAACUAAUCAUGAAAAAGGAUCCAAAUGCAACCAACACCCAGACUUAGGGUUUUAUCUGACAGAAUUCCACGAGUUUUGGUGUUUGUCUAUUUCUGCAGGGGGUUAUCAGGAAAUACGGAGGAAAGGCCCACACAUCGGGUUUACAUAGAGAUAUUAACGUGUGCGCCAAUUUUCUAUCAUCUAGAAGUCUCUAGAAGCCAUGGGAACGAACGGGAGGCCGAUCAGGCCCGGGGGCAGGGCGCCUGCCCUCCCCCCUUGGGCGCCUGCCCAGCUACAGGAACCAAUCAGCUUCAACUUCGCGAAUCGUGCUCCACCGACCUAAGGGAUCAAGGAAAACCGUGCGAUUAAUGUCGGUUUGAUCCGACGACCCAGAUUCACCUGAGGGGACUAUAUAAGCAGACCCCCACCAGCCCCUGGAGGCAUACCUCUUCUACAGAAUCAAAUUUAGGGUUUCAAUUCUUCAUCCAAGUAGAGAGGAUCCCUCUAGUUCAUCUAGUUCUAGUUCUAGUUCCUCUAGUUCUAGUUAGUUCUAGUUGUAAUCUAGAAAAUAGGGAGAGAGAAGAGGAGAGCGGAGGAGGAGGAGCCAGAUCUGUCGGAUCUUUCUCAAUAUUAUACUUUUGCAGCAACUGGUUCGUUCUUCAUCGUUCUCCAAGUUCUUCAAUUCAUAAUUCCUGAGUUCUUUAAUUACUUUUAUUUACAUUUAAGUUAUUUAUUGGAUUUCCGCUUGCAUCAAGUGCUCUAGUCUUUAUAACGCUAGAGUAUUAAUUAAUAGAUUAGACGUGGUGUUUAGUCUUGCAAUUACCUGGAAUGGCACCCAAUCCUACGGAUUGUUGUGAUAGCCCUAGGGUAGUGACAGCCCUAACGGUCGACGUAUUCCACCUCGUUCGGAUCGGUGUUUGUAGGACCGUAGUCAGAGCUUCCUAGCCCCCUUCUCAUCUCUUUCUGGGGUUAGUGUUUUGAUGUCCCGAAAUAAAUAAUCUUUGAAGUAAUUCUUGAUUCUUAGAUCAACUAGAGAACUCUCAGGAAACUUUCUCUCUUCCCACCAAAAAUAAUUAUAUAGUUAUCCUUGGGUGAUCUUGAAUCUUAAUUAGUACACUCACGUUCCCUGUGGAAAAUAGAUACUCUGGAAUACUCCCGGGUGAAAGCUACAUCGGUAUCUGUGCGCUUGCAGAUUUUUCUGUUUGCGUUUAAAAUACCCAACAAGCUUUCUGGCGCCGUUGCCGGGGAACGGUAGAAACCGAGAACCAAAAAAGUGUGGUGAAAGAAAGAGAUACCAUCACCAAGCACUCCAACAUAAGAAGAGGGAUCGCUAUCUCCGGGUUCACCAGAUACUCAGGUAUAGACAAAAAAGGAGAAAUCAAGGGCGGAUUAUGUCCCCUUAGACAUCCCCUCAAAUGCGUGAUCAAGCCAAAAGGUCCGAUUUGACCGAUCUUAAUCUCUGAACCUUCGCCGAAAGGUUACAUCGGCAGUUAUUCUCAUAUUUAGUUUCCAGCAUAAGUUUUUAUUUUAGCAUGUUUACUUUCCAUAUUUAAGCCAUAAGCAUUCAGCAUGUUUAUAUUGCAUUGAAAAGAAAACAAAAAUUUGUUUUGUUGCAUCAUAGCAUUGCAUCUAAAAAACCUUAAGCCCCAUGUAAAUAAGUCUCGGCUAUUUACUAUGGAGGCACAAAAACAAUUUUGCGUCUGCAUACAAAAAUAGAAAACCCAAAAAUAUACCGAGAGCCUGUAAAAAAAUUGCUUAACUGAAAAGUAAUAAAGUUUCUAAAAUGGAUAAGGCAUAAAUGGUUUUACCACUAACGCUUAAUCUGUUCCACGAGCUUUGUUGUCUAUUUGAGUUAAGACAGGAUUCAACAAGAAUAGUUAGAAUUUUUCACCCACUCUGGAAAGACCUCUUCAUCAAUCAUCCACUUUUGGAAACCUAGAGGGACAGAUAACAUCUAUGUUAUCGAGAUUCAAGAUGAAGGACUACGUUAACAUCCAGCUUGGGGAGGAGCAUCCUCCAUGUAUCUAGCUAAGUAUUUUAUUUCCUUAAGUGUGAUUUAUUUUUUUAAAGAAAGAUAAAUAAACAAAAUAAAAAGAGACUAUUAUAUCUAUUAUCUAUUAAAUUAUUAGGUAAUAAAAAGAGAGUGUACAAGUUUGUUUUACCUACCCUUGAAUAAUUAAGCUCUAGAUAACCUAUUUGCAUGGAGAUGAUGAAUAGUUGCUCUAUUGUAAUCCCUUUCAAGUGCUUAGUGUUCAACCCUAGAUUCUCCCGAGUUUUAGGUUAAGAUUGUUUUGACAUGAAGAUUUGCUCUAAACCUGAAAACUUGUGGGUUGCCAAAAGCUUGAUCUAAGUCUAAGUGUUCACCAAGUAUGAUAUGAAAAGGUUUUCAGCUGCUAUUUAUCUUGUUCCUGGUAAUACUAGAGUUCUGAAUAUUUAUCUUUUGAAAAAUCUAAAAUUACCACAUGAUGAGUUCUUGUAUGAUGAGUGUUGACGGUCCUUAAUGCUCACAUUUAACCAUCAACUAAUCAUGGAAAAUGAUCCAAAUGCAACCAACACCUAGACUUAGGGUUUUAUCUGACAGAAUUCUACGAGUUUUGGUGUUUGUCUAUUUCUGCAGGGGGUUAUCAGGAAAUACGGAGGAAAAGCCCACACAUCGGGUUUACAUAGAGAUAUUAACGUGUGCGUCAAUUUUCUAUCAUCUAGAAGACUCCAGAAGCCACGUGAACGAACGGGAGGCCGAUCAGGCCCGGUGGUAGGGCGCCCGCCCUCCCCCUUGGGCGCCCGCCUAGCUACAGGAACCUAUCAGCUUCAACUUCGCGGAUCGUGCUCUACCGACCUAAGGGAUCAAGGAAAACCGUGCGAUUAAUGUCGGUUUGAUCCGACGACCCAGAUUCACCUAAGGGGACUAUAUAAGCAGACCCACCAGCCCCUGGAGGCAUACCUCUUCUACAGAAUCAAAGUUAGGGUUUCAAUUCUUCAUCCAAGUAGAGAGGAUCCCUCUAGUUCAUCUAGUUCUAGUUCUAGUUAGUUCUAGUUGUAAUCUAGAAAAUAUGGAGAGAGAAGAAGAGAGCGGAGGAGGAGGAGCCGGAUCUGUCGGAUCUUCCUCAACACUAUACUUUUGCAGCAACUGGUUCGUUCUUCAUCGUUCUCCAAGUUUUUCAAUUCAUAAUUCCUGAGUUCUUUAAUUACUUUUAUUUACAUUCAUGUUAUUUAUUGGAUUCCCGCUUGCGUCAAGUGCUCUAGUCUUUAUAACGCUCGUGUAGUAAUUAAUAUAUUAGACGUGGUGUUUAGUCUUGCAAUUACCUGGAAUUGCACCCAAUCCUGCGGAUUGUUGUGGUAGCCCUAGGGUAGUGACAGCCCUAACGGUCGACGUAUUCCACCUCGUUCGGAUCGGUGUUUGUAGGACCGUAGUCAGAGCUUCCUAGCGCCCUUCUCAUCUCUUUCUGUGGUUAGUGUUCUGAUGUCCCGAAAUAAAUAAUCUUUAAAGUAAUUCUUGAUUCUUAGAUCAACUAGAGAACUCUCAGGAAACUUUCUCUCUUCCCCCCAAAAAUAAUUAUAUAGUUAUCCUUGGGCGAUCUUGAAUCUUAUUUAGUACACUCACGUUCUCUGUGGAAAAUCGAUACUAUGGAAUACUCCCGGGUGAAAGCUACAUCGGUAUCCGUGCGCUUGUGGAUUUUUCUGUUUGCGUUUAAAAUACCCAACAAGCUUUCUGGCGCCGUUGCCGGGGAACGGUAGCUGUGCUAGUUUCGAACCAAGUCGCCCGUGUAUCCUUUUCUUUUCCUUUUUUACCACAUUCACCUUACCAUUUUCACCACACCACAUGGAUUUCACUCCAAACAUUAAUGAGCAUGGAAUUUAUUUCAUAGCCACUUUAUUUACUCCAUGCUGAUAUGCAACAUGUUCCCAAUCUUUUGGUCUCUCCAACAUCACCACAUUCGAGAUAUCCAACCCCCUCUUCCUUUCUAUCUAUAAAAACUUUAAAAGGGAGGUUGUCGAUGCAUAUGUUUAUAAUAAAUUUUGCAGAUCUUGUUGAGUUGAUCUUGAUAUAAGUCAGCGUUGGAGGGGAAACCACUUCGCAGACAUAAAUUGAUGGUUUCCCAAGGACAAGCUUAGUGUCCUAAAAUAAGCACUGAUCAGAUCGUAACAUGAGCUUUUAAUUAUUUGCAACAUUACCUUGUGUAUUGAGCAUAUAAGGAUAAUUGUAAAAAAUUCCUUCGGGUAUUCUUGUCACUAACCUUUCCAGGAUUGGAGCAAGAAGAUUGGAUGAAUGACAAGCACAAGGUAUGUCCAACCAAUCAUCAUACAACAUUGAGUUAAAUUCAUCCAAACUUGAAUUUUGCAAAAUUCAAGCUUGGGGGAGUACUUUACAUAAAAACAUCAUUUGCCAUGUUGCUAUAUUGGUUGUCUCUACCUUUGAGACAAGCUCAAUUUGUUAAAUACUAAUCACACUACUUCAUCUCCACUUGAGUAGAUCUCUAUAAAUGCUCUCAUGCUACCUUUAUUUGCUUUAGUAUAUGACUUGGUUUGGAGUAGUUUCAUUUAUCUCUUAAUUAUGCAUGGUGCUUAGUUUAGGGCUGAUGAUCUUACUUCCAAGGGAGUUUAAAUUAAGCAUGAUGCUUAGGUUAAAAUGCCCUCCUAAAUCAAAUUAGACAUGGUGUCUAGGUCGAUCUUUGAGCCGAUAGUAUGCUAUAAUAGAUAUUGGAUAUUUUGUUGGACUAACCCCUGCAGAAAAACUUUCAAUAUCAACCUGGUGAAGGGUCGAGAUGGCGGACUAGAGGGGGGGGUGAAUAGUCCUUUCUAAAAAAUUAUUACACCGGCUAACCGAGACAAAUGCGGAAUUAAAACUAUCGGUCUAGCCAAGACUAUACCCCUCUAUCUAAGUUCUCUAGCACCUUGUAAAAGAUCCUAAACAAGCAAACAAGGUGCUACCUUAACAAGAGUUCACCUAACCAAUUCUAGGAGCAAGGUCACACAAGCCUAUGCCACUAGUACUUUGCAAAACGAGGAAGCUCCUACACAAACUAGUGAGGCAAAGCACACAAAGCCUAAGCUCACUAGCAAGCUCAAUAACAAGGCAACUAAUGCCAAAUUAGAGAGCGCAACUUACUUAGCUACACAAACUAAGUAAUGUGACUAACAAGGUUACACAAACCAAAUUAGUCACGCAAGGGAACUACUUCUAGCUACACAAGCAAGAAGGUAACUAGCAAGCUACACAAGCUAACUAAUUACAAGAGCAACUACACAAGCACAAAUAUAUGAAUGUAAGAACAAGCUUGUGUUAGGGACUUGCAAACCAAUGGGAAUAACAAUGUUGACACAAUGAUUUUCUCCCGAGGUUCACUUGGUUGCCACCAAGCUACGUCCCCGUUGUGUCGACCAACACUUAGUGGUUCGGCGGCUAAGAGGUGUUACACGAACCUCGUCCCCACUAGGACACCGCAAGAACCUACCCACAAGUGAGGUAGCUCAACGACACGCACGAUCCAAUAGAGUUGCUCUUCGCGAUCCCCGCGGGGUGAGCACCGUACCCCUCACAAUCUCUUCUCUGGAGCACCGCACAAUCUCCUUGCGUGCUUCGACGGAGUCACAAGCCACCAAGCCAUCUAGGAGGUGGCAACCUCCAAGAGUAACAAGCACCACCGGCUUGCAACACGAACACCUAGUGCCACUCGAUGCAAUCUCUCAAUGCAACGCACUAGAAUCGCUCACUCACACAAUCGGAUGAUCACUAUCAAGCAUAUGUGAGUUAGAGACUUCACUAGCACUCCCCAAGCAUGGACACUAAGUCCCAAGGGUGCUCAGCACCAGCCAUGGCCAGCCACCACUUCUAUUUAUAGCCCCAAGGGCUAAACUAGCCGUUGCCCCUUCACUGGGCGAAAACCGGCGGCACCGGACUCACUGUAGGGAGCCACCGGACGCUGGAACAGUGCGUCCGGUGCUUGAGAAACAGCCACGUGUCACUAGCCGUUUGAACUCAACCGUUGCUGCCAAUGGCUACUACGCACGCGCGCCUGUACAGCACCACCGGACGCUCUACUGCGUCACACCGGACGCGUCCUGUGCACACCGGACGCAUACGCAGAGAGUUUGUCAAAACGCAGGAUCACCGGACGCUACCACCGACACACCAGGUUGGCACCGGACCCUUACUCAGAGAACUCCGUAAAAGCUCAGAGACACUGGACGCACCAACAGCGUUCGAUCAGCGUCCGAUGCUGAUCGUCUGGUGCACAGCUCUCAGCAACCGAGAGCGCACCAGACGCUCCGGGGCAGCGUCCGGUGCCUCAGAACCGAGCGUCCGGUGAGUUUUCUUUCCACUGCCAAACAAGAAACUUUCCACCGGUAUACAAGAAACUUUCGACUAGCGCACAAGAAACUUUUCACCGGUAGACAAGAAACUUUCUACUAGCGCACAAGAAACUUUCCACCGGUAGACAAGAAACUUUCCACCAGCAUACAGGAAACUUUCCACUAGUGCACAAGAAACUUUCCACCGGUAGACAAGAAACUUUCUACCUCCUUAAGGUGUGCCAACACCAACAAGUGUACACCACCAAGUGCAAGUGUGUUAGCAUUUUCACAAACAUUUUCCCAAAGGAGUUAGCCUCUCAACUUGUCACGCCACUCGAUCCUAACACGUAUACAAAGUUAGAUCGCUCAAGUGGCACUAGAUGACCGAUAUGCAAACAAGUUUGCCCCUCUUGAUAGUACGGCCAUCUAUCCUAAAUCCGGUCAUAAACUUCUCUACACACCUAUGACCGGUGAAAUGGAAAUGCCCUAGGUUAUACCUUUGCCUUGCGCAUUCCAUUCCAUCUCCUCCAAUGUUGAUGCAACACAUGCACCAACCAAUCACCAAAUGAUAUGAUCCACUUCAUAUCAUCACAUGACCGUAUUGGUUCAUCGAUCUUGACCUCACUUCCUCUUCACCGUUGCCUUCGUACAUCGGCGCCAAGUCUUGCUCAAGCUUCACCGUCACACGCGGUCCCUCGCUUCAAAGCCUCCGACUUGCCCUUCACUCUUGCAACCGGUCCAUCAAGCCAAGCCUCAUCUUGAUCUUCUCCACCUUGGUCACAUGACUCCAUGUCAUGUCUCAUAUGCAACGAGCUCCUCCAUCAUCACAUCAUCACCUGUGGACUAAUCUCCUGUGUAUCUCAUAUAAACACUAUUAGUCCACCUAAGUUGUCACUCAAUUACCAAAACCAAACAAGGACCUUUCACCUGGGAAGUCCUGAGAUAAACUCACAUUGGAGACAAAGAGAGAGACACAUGAAGGUUAACAAUUUACACAAGGAGGGCAUAGCUCACAAGAGAUGAUCCAUGGAAGGUGCCACGAACAUGAUGCACAACCGCUAAGAAAGGAAAGCUUCCACAAGGUGAUAUUGUGCCAUCACUCUUCAAGUAAGGUAACAUCUUAAGGUACUUGACUAUCACUUUUAUAAGUUUCUCCUUGGUUCUGGCAUUCACAUGAAUAAAAGAGACAAACAUGUAUGAUUUACAACUCUAGAUUAACCAACCCAAUCGAUUCAACAUGUUUAGUCCUUCCACCUUUGUGAUCCCACACUCCUAAUCUUAUGAGCUAAAAUGUUGCACACUCAAUCUUUGAAAGAUAUAUAAAAAACAUAAGUAUAGAUAGAUUAUCUUUCCAUUAGGUUGAGCGAUCUGAUCUGACAAAUGUUUUAAAUGCUACACUCAUGAUCUUAUUAUACAUGAACUUUGUCUUGCUCACUAUGCUUAAGGUUAGAGAAGAACAAAUAUACUUUUGGUUCUGUUGGUGUUUUCCACCAACAGGGCCCAUGCACUUGAUCUCUACCUUGUCUCUAUGAGCAGGUACACUUUGAGCAAAAUAUGAAGGAGUUUUACAACUCCCAGACUGCACCAAGUGAAGAACCUAGAUCUACGAGCACAAACACACUGGAGAUACUAGACACUCAGGCAAUCAUUGCCCUAAGAUGCUUGAGGACGUAAUUACUGGAGUAACCCCGUUGUGGAAGUAAUUACUGACCUUCUGCCGGUCAAGAGAGACGAUCCAGGACGCCCCGUCAUCCUGAUCUUUAUCGGCAUGGUGGACUUCCCAGAAGCACUCUGCGACUUUGGCUCCAGCGUCAACAUUAUGCCCAGGGUACUCUAUGAAAAAUUCUUUACACAUCCUUUAUUAGAAACAACAAUGUGUUUGUAGGUUGCAGAUCGUACGCUAAGUUUCCAAAAGGGAAUAUUGAAGAACCUCUGCGUCCGAGUUGGUACCUUGUACGCCCCAGCAGACUUGGUGGUGACAGAGACUGAUACUGAUGAGAAGGCACUCAUCAUCCUAGGGAGGCCAUUCCUGAAACACGUCGGGAGCUGUCAUCUACGCUAGUGCUGCUAAGAUCAGUUUCUACAUCAAGGGGAAGAAGGAGACAUUUUCCUUCGAGAACAAGACUGCACAAAUCCCAGAGCAAUCCCAAUAUGAACCAAGGAAGAGGACCAACACGAGGAACAGGAACAAACAAAUUUGGACCAAGUCAGCUAAGAUGGUCACUGCAGUUCAAGGAGGUCAAGACCGUCGACUUAAGUCACCGUUCAAAAAGGAUGACCCAGCUCCAGAUGGCAGAUCAGAUAUUCUGAAAGGUUAUUGACAUGGGAGAAGAUAAGUACGAUCCACCCAUCAUCCUUGGGAGACCGUUCCUCAGCACCGUUAAAGCAAUCAUCUACAUUGGAACCAGAGAAGUCCACAUGCACUUCCCCUCUGAGAAGGUACACCGCUAUUUUACUGACCCUAACUAUAUCGUUGAAGACUCUAAGCAGGUCAGGACAAGAAGAAGACGAUGCAACCGCAACCAGAGGAGGCAAAUCAUCAAGGACGGAUGGGCAGACUAUGAAGGAGAAGUGGUAAGGUGAUGAGACCAUACCAAGGCAAUCUACAUUCAAGCAUCCACUCAAGGUGAAAGCUAAACUUAAUUCCAAAUCAUUUAGGUUUCCACAUACAAGGCUACUACUUGGUUUAUAUGAUUAUAGAUUCAAACACCUUGCUAUCAUGGAACAAGAAGAUUGCGAUGUUAUCACAACAUUACAAACCGAUGGCCUAGCACAACUAUUUGGAUCAGAAGAGUUAGAGUCGAGGACGACUCCUUUUCAAGAGGGGGAGAAUGAUAUGACCAUGCCAGCAAGCAAGAUGUCACAAGCUCCAAGUCCAGCAAGCAAUAUGUCACAAGCUCCAAGUCAAGCUACAACCACUCAAGUUUUACCUACACCGACACCAGCCCAAAUCAUCGAUGGACCGGUUACACGUAGUCGUGCAAAGAAGCUACAACAAGAGGUCCACACGCUACUUUGUGAGAUUCAUUUUAAUGUUAAUGAGAAUUAUAUUCUACCUAAGUGGUCUACCUUGAUUGUACUCAGGUAUAUAGAAGAAAAGAAGGAUUAAUGGGACCCUAAAGAACGAACCAGUGCAAGUCCUAGAAGACACGUCAAAAACGGACCAGUUGAAGUAAAAAACGGACCAGUGCAAAGAAAUCUUCAUAACUUUUUAAUCACAAAAGCUAUGAAGGCCCAUGAGGACUUGUUGGAAAGCUUGUCGAGUCUACUUUCUAAUGAAUAUAGUGGCGACCAGUUUGGAUACACCAUAUUGCCUGCAGACCAGAAUUAGUACAGACUGCUCAGAAGGUCAACAGUUUGUCGUGAUAGAAUAUUGGUACAACUUGCCAUGCAAAACUGUACCAAUAUACAACAUUUCGUGGUGCAUGGCAUACAUUGCUGGAAAGCUCUUCGAGUCUAGUUUCACACCCGAGAAACGGUUUGUCAUUUGGAGUUACCAAUUAAAAGUUAUGGUCAAUUUAUUGGAAACUGCUCUGGAGGCCAACAGUCACGCGAAGCCACUUCGGGAAUCCAUUUCGAAGGGACCUUUCACAUUGCCUUCUCUCAGAAACUCUAUUUCGUUUUCAUACCUAUCUAGCAGGGCUGUUGCUAGUAUAAAUAUCCCCUACCUCUAAGCUAUCAGCAACCUUUGAUCAUUUGAUAAACUACAUGAUAUUGCAGCCGUGCUGCUGAGUGCCUUACUCAACCUUUGUUCUUCCUUGUUCUUCUUGUACUUGUGAAGAGAAUCCUCUGGAUUCCCCUACUUCGUGCUCUACGGCUUCCGUUCGGCUGCGCCGUAUUGUGUGGAUUUGUUUCGGAUUGUGGUUCUGUGGUCGUUCGGAGAUCGAGUCGAAGUCUUCGUGGUUUCGGUGCCUCUCUUCUCGUCGCUUGUUCGCAUCCAACCUUUGUUAGGUAUAAAGCUAGUUACCCGCUGUUCGCAGCAAGUUAUCCUUGUUCUUUUGAUCUACUGUCGUGAAGAUCGGGCCACCCUCGUACCGAUUCAUAUCGGUAACCUAUCAAGUGGUAUCAAAGCUUUCGUUGUCACGGUAGAUCUCAUAAUCAUCCACAUAUCUACCUUUAGUUUAUCUAUUGUUUGUUACUGUUUUGUUCAUCACCUACAGUCCACUGAAAAGCCACAAAAAAAUCCUAGAGCCCUUUGACGGUACUGUUAUCUUGUGUUUUGUGUUCAUCAAGUUGCUAGUCACCCUCUUUACAUAUAUUGUGUUGUGUUUCAUUUGUUAUCCGCACCCCUGUUAGUAUAAAAAAAGAGUUCAAAAAAAAAUCAAAAAAAAAUUCAGAGAAAAGAAAAGAGAAAGAACAGAAAAGUAGAAGAAGAGGAAGUUGUAUUGCGGUUUGCUUGCUGAAAAAUUCAGUUUACAUAUUCAUGUUCUUGGAGAUUUAUAUGCCAGCAACAUUAUAUCAUUUGAGCACAUCAAAUCACUUGAUUUUCAGUACCGUAGCAUUCCUUGUUUAGCCACCUAUAGCUCCACCUAAAACUGAAACCAGGACAUUCGACUCAUAAUCCUUGCGACCUCAGAAUCACUUCUGUUGAGCCGCUACACUAGCACAAUUCACUAUCCUUGAGAACAGGAAAGAGCAUUGGUAAGUAAGAGGUGAGAUUGUGUGAUUUCAUAAAUUUACCCAUUCCACUAUAUCUUGCAUAAGUGCUAACAUGGCAGGAUCCAAUUCGAGCGUUCGUGGUGGUCGAUAUGGAGAAAAAGAAACAUCAGUUUCGCGGGCUGAGUUACGCCAACUACAAAACUCACUAGUGGAGGCCAUAGAGAAGAUGUUUGAUGAACGUCUUCCUUUGGUGCGCGGUCGCACUAAACAACAUAGCUCAGCCAACUCUCGCCGUGGUCUCUUUGGCCACAGUGGACAACAUGGAGGAGGUGCUCAUGGGCAUAGCAUUCGCCCCCGUGUGCUCAUUGAUGAUGAAGAUUACUGUGUGUCCCCUAAAAGAAAAAUUCAGCAAGAGUGCCACCAACCAAAAUUGAGUGAGAGAAAUCAAAAAGAAAAGAUGAGACAUUCCACCAUACGUGAGAAAGAGUGGCACCAACCAAAAUUCAGUGAGAGAGUUCAAAAUAAGAAGACGAGAGAUUCCACAAUAUUUGAGGAGAGCCACAAAACUCUAUGUGAGAGUGAUCCACAAAAAUUGAGAGAAAAUAGAGAUGAAUCAUGUGAGAAAUUAUUUACUUCUAACAUCAUAAUACCUUCUAUUCUUGUUCCUUUUGCGAUGCAGGUUCAUGAAGAAAAUGAUGUUGUGAAUUAUGAUCAGACCCCAAUCUUCGAUGAGGAAGAACAAGUGAUUGUCAAUGACAACGAUACACAUGCAUAUGUGGCUUCACAAGACGUUGAAGUAAUUGUGCAUCAAAACCUAUGUGAGAAUGAGAGCCACAUUGCCAAAAUGAGAGAGAGUGAAGACAAAGGAGAGUUGAGUGAUUCCACCCACUAUAAGAUUGAGAGUGUCAACAAUGAGAGUGUGAGGGAUACACCACAGAAAAAUAGAUAUUUAGAAUGCAGGCCAAGUGAGAAUAUCUUUGAAACUAACACUCUCAUCUCUACUUCUAGUUUUGUCUUUCCAAAUGUGCAGGUUGGUGAUGAGAAUAGGGAAGAGAUGGAUGCUCAAGACAGCACCAUACUUGUUGAGAGAAAUCAGAAGGUAGCCAUUCAACUAAACCCAUUGUGUGUUGCCCAAAACCUAAACCAUGACAUGGAUAACGGUAAUAUUUCAGAGGUGCAAUCGUUGGUACUUGCACCACCAAAAAGUCUAAAAGUUAUUGAAAAUAAAUCAGAUUUGAGUUUGCAAAAUAAAAUGGCAUGUAAUUAUGAUAAUACACAUGGUUUAAAUGAGAUUAACCAUACACGAAAUAUUUGCACUGAUUUGAUUAUUUCACAUGUUCACCCGUGUGCUGAAAUUUUGCAAGUUGAUAACCAAAGUUCAAUCAUACAUGAUCUUUUCUAUGGUUUGAUAUGGUUCAUGUACAUGAUGAUUUGCAUUCACAUGUGUGAUACGAUGCAUUAUGUUUCAAUACUCAUACAUCUUAGAGAUGGCUGCACAUUUGUCAACCCUUUAGUUAAUUCAUCAAAACCAUCUAAGAUCAACAAUGAAGGUAAAAAUUCGGAGAUUCAAACCUUGGUACAUGUAGAAUCAUUGGAUUUAAAAUACAUGAAAAAUAAAUCAAAUCUGAUUGUUCAACGCAUACUGAGUACUUGUGAUAUCACUGUUUCAGCAAUAAAACAUGACCAAAAUAUUUGUGCUGAUUUGACUCGAACUCAUGUUGAUACAAGUGCUGAGUUUCUUUUUGAUGAGAGUCUUUGUGCUUUGAAUAAUCCUUGAAAAACUUCAUAUAACAACAAACAACACCUCAUCGAGUCGGUUACUUGUGCUGAUUUGUUUACAAGGAUAUCUCCUCUUGAAUGUUUGUGGUAUACUAUGCUUAACAUGCCUAUCAAUAUCGAACAAAUGCUAGAGAAAAUUUCUAACAUAACAUCUUUGAGUUCAAUGAAUACUACUCAUAGCUUCCAGUUUACAUUUGUCUUGAUUGGAGAACAUGUUGUAGAUACCUUCCAGGUUCAUGCAAUUUGUGUAACAUAUAACAAGCUUGCUGAUUUAGAAUCAACAAUGUUGAGAGAUAAACAAAGUGAGAAAUCUUUUAAGAUGCAACAAAUGCUUGGUGCUUAUGGUUUCGAUCAAUUCAUGUUGUCAGCAUGUUCGUACCAUCCACUUAAAGAUAGAAAUCUUGUGCAAAGCAAAGCCUAUACACCGAAAAGUUAUUCAUCCACACCUUGGAGCAUUGAGUUUAAAAAUUAUACUUCUAAACCAUUGAAUAAAUUUUGCUGCCACAAUAAUUUUUGAAAUAACAUUAGUUCUCAACAUCCAUUUGAUGAAAAGUUUGAUCUUCUAAAGAUAAAACAUGACAACAUGAAUCAAAUGAUUGGAUUGGAAGAAAUUUUGGUGCUACCAUCCUCUAAACUGUUUGCAGGUUCACCAAAGUUGAGAGAAUGUUUCUUACAUGGAAAAGGAAAUAAUGCAAAAAUAAUUCAAAAUGAAACAAAUGAACAGAACAAAAGGAAUGAUUAUUGGAAUUAUCAAGUACGUCCACCCUCUAUUUUGUCUAAGCUGUUUUCAGGUAAACAAAAGUCGUGGACGACUUUUCUUGAAGGGAGGGAGGAUGAUGAGACCAUACCAAGGCAAUCUACAUUCAAGCAUCCACUCAAGGUGAAAGCUAAACUUAAUUCCAAAUCAUUUAGGUUUCCACAUACAAGGCUACUACUUGGUUUAUAUGAUUAUAGAUUCAAACACCUUGCUAUCAUCGAACAAGAAGAUUGUGAUGUUAUCACAACAUUAUAAACCGAUGGCCUAGCACAACUAUUUGGAUCAGAAGAGUUAGAGUCGAGGACGACUCCUUUUCAAGAGGGGGAGAAUGAUAUGACCAUGCCAGCAAGCAAGAUGUCACAAGCUCCAAGUCCAGCAAGCAAGAUGUCACAAGCUCCAAGUCAAGCUACAACCACUCAAGUUUUACCUACACCGACACCAGCCCAAAUCAUCGAUGGACCGGUUACACGUAGUCGUGCAAAGAAGCUACAACAAGAGGUCCACACGCUACUUUGUGAGAUUCAUUUUAAUGUUAAUGAGAAUUAUAUUCUACCUAAGUGGUCUACCUUGAUUGUACUCAGGUAUAUAGAAGAAAAGAAGGAUUAAUGGGAGCCUAAAGAACGAACCAGUGCAAGUCCUAGAAGACACGUCAAAAACGGACCAGUUGAAGUAAAAAACGGACCAGUGCAAAGAAAUCUUCAUAACUUUUUAAUCACAAAAGCUAUGAAGGCCCAUGAGGACUUGUUGGAAAGCUUGUCGAGUCUACUUUCUAAUGAAUAUAGUGGCGACCAGUUUGGAUACACCAUAUUGCCUGCAGACCAGAAUUAGUACAGACUGCUCAGAAGGUCAACAGUUUGUCGUGAUAGAAUAUUGGUACAACUUGCCAUGCAAAACUGUACCAAUAUACAACAUUUCGUGGUGCAUGGCAUACAUUGCUGGAAAGCUCUUCGAGUCUAGUUUCACACCCGAGAAACGGUUUGUCAUUUGGAGUUUCCAAUUAAAAGUUAUGGUCAAUUUAUUGGAAACUGCUCUGGAGGCCAACAGUCACGCGAAGCCACUUCGGGAAUCCAUUUCGAAGGGACCUUUCACAUUGCCUUCUCUCAGAAACUCUAUUUCGUUUUCAUACCUAUCUAGCAGGGCUGUUGCUAGUAUAAAUAUCCCCUACCUCUAAGCUAUCAGCAACCUUUGAUCAUUUGAUAAACUACAUGAUAUUGCAGCCGUGCUGCUGAGUUCCUUACUCAACCUUUGUUCUUCCUUGUUCUUCUUGUACUUGUGAAGAGAAUCCUCUGGGUUCCCCUACUUCGUGCUCUACGGCUUCCGUUCGGCUGCGCCGUAUUGUGUGGAUUAGUUCCGGAUUUUGGUUCUGCGGUCGUUCGGAGAUCGAGUCGAAGUCUUCGUAGUUUCGGUGCCUCUCUCUCCGUCGCUUGGUCGCAUCCAACCUUUGUCAGGUAUAAAGCUAGUUACCCGCUGUUCGCAGCAAGUUGUUGACGGUCCUUAAUGCUCAUAUUUAAUCAUCAACUAAUCAUAGAAAAGGAUACAAACGCAACCAACACCUAGACUUAGGGUUUUAUCUGACAGAAUUCCACGAGUUUUGGUGUUUGUCUAUUUCUGCAGGGGGUUAUCAGGAAAUACGGAAGAAAAGCCCACACGUCGGGUUUACAUAGAGAUAUUAACGUGCCGCGCAAUUUUCUAUCAUCUAGAAGACUCCAGAAGCCACGGGACCGAAGCGGAGGCCGAGAGGGCUCAGGCACAGGGCGCCCGCCCUCCCUUACUGGGCGCCCGCCCUCCCCCCUGGACCAAUCAGGGCGAAGUUCGGGGAUCAUGCUCCACCGACCUAAUACUUCAAGGAAAACUACACGAUCAAUGUCGGUUUGAUCCGACGGCCCAGAUUCACUUGAAGGGACUAUAAAACCAGACCCCCUGGCCCCUGGAGAUCAUACCUCUUCUACAGAAUCAAAGCUAGGGUUUCAAUUCUUCAUCCAAGUAGAGAGGAUCCCUCUAGUUCUUCUAGUUCUACCUCUAGUUCAUCUAGAUCUAGUUCUAGUUCAUCUAGUUCUAGUUCUAGUUCCUCUAGUUCUAGUUCUAGUUAGUUCUAGUUGUAAUCUAGAAAAUAGGGAGAGAGAAGAGGAGAGCGGAGGAGGAGGAGGAGGAGCCGGAUCUGUCGGAUCUUCCUCAACAUUGUACUUUUGCAGCAACUGGUUCGUUCUUCAUCGUUCUCCAGGUUCUUCAAUUCAUAACCCUGAGUUCUUUAAUUACUUUUAUUUACAUUCAAGUUAUUUAUUGGAUUCCCGCUUGCAUCAAGUGCUCUAAUCUUUGCAACAUUAGAGUAGUAAUUAAUAGAUUAGACGUGGUGUUUAGUCUUGCAAUUACCUGGAAUUGCACCCAAUCCUGCGGAUUGUUGUGGUAGCCUUAGGGUAGUGACAGCCCUAACGGUCGAUGUAUUCCACCUCGUUCGGAUCGGUGUUUGUAGGACCGUAGUCAGACCUUCCUAGCCCCCCUUCUCAUCUCUUUCUGUGGUUAGUGCUCUGAUGUCCCGAUAUAGAUAAUCUUGAAGUAAUUCUUGAUUCUUAGAUCAACUAGAGAACUCUCAGGAAACAUCCUCUCUUCCCACCAAAAAUAAUUAUAUAAUUAUCCUUGGGCGAUCUUGGAUCUUAAUUAGUACACUCACGUUCCCUGUGGAAAAUCGAUACUCUGGAAUACUCCCGGGUGAAAGCUACAUCGGUAUCCGUGCGCUUGCGGAUUUUUCUGUUUGCGUUUAAAAUACCCAACAAGCUUUCUGGCACCGUUGCCGGGGAACGGUAGCUGUGCUAGUUUCGAACCAAGUCGUCCGUGUAUCCUUUUUCUUUUCUUUUUUACCACACUCACCUUACCAUUUUCACCAUACCACAUGGAUUUCACUCCUAUCUAUAAAUUCUUUGCUCCAAAGGGCGAGUUAUUAGAGCCACCACCAUCAUCACAUCCAAUUCUUACAGAUGGCUACGACCUCGGCCCUGAUCUAAUAGCCAUGAUUCAGGAGCAACCCUUCUCUGGGCAAGUAGAUGAAGAUCCAUACACCCACCUUAGAGAAUUCGAGCAGUUGUGCUCUUGCCGAUCUAUUUCCGGCAGGACACAAGAAACCCUUAAAUGGAAAUUAUUUCCGUUCUCCCUUUUGGGAAGAGCAAAAAAGUGGUAUGCUCAUUCUGUAGGAGGCGUUAAUGGAAGUUGGGAUGAACUUCGGGACAACUUUUGUCUCGCUUUCUUCCCACUUUUUCGAAUUGCUGACCUUAGAAUUGAAAUUCUUACAUUCAAACAAAGAGAGAAGGAAACUUUAGGAGCAGCUUGGGCUAGGUUCACAAGCCUUACCAAUUCCGGUCCAAACCUUUCCCUGCCUGACCAUGUACUGUACUACCACUUUUAUCGUGGUCUAAACAAGGAAGCUGCUCUUCACCUCGACAUUGCUUCAGGAGGCUCAUUCACACACAAACUCACAGAUGAGGGGAGAGCCAUCCUAGAAAGAAUCCUUGAAAAUACCCCUUACACAGGCAUUUAUGAUGAGUUUCCUGAAGAAGAAAAGGAAGUCGAACCUGAUCCUAAACCAAAAGACGAGGAACUUGCAACCAAGUUAGAAAUUCCACCUGACCCACCUAUUAAUUUGGUUGUAGAGAAACCUCCUGAUAAGGGAAUGCAAAACCAACUAAAGGAUGAUGAACCACCACCUUUAGAGCAUCCCUUUGAAUUCGAGGAAGAUCUUUUUGAAGAUUAUGGAAACACCUCGAAUUUUCCUAUCCAAACACGACCUCUACCAAGGACCUCUCAAUCCGUUCUAAGAGUAGAAUCUGUUGACAUAGAACACAUUAAAAGCCUUUCGGCUAUUCUGAGUUAUGAAUGGCUAACAGAAGCGGAGCUAUCCCCUGAGGUAGCUCGAAUCAUCAUUCCUUCAACCAUUCUUCUGUGCCAAAUUAGAGGGUCCCCUAGGAAGGUCCACUACAAUCCAUAUGUUGGGAUAAAUGUUAUUUCCAGGGAGUUAGCUGGCACUCUUUAUCCCAACGAGUCCAUAACCCCAUCUCAAAAACUUUUACAAAGUUCAUCUAGAUUAAUUCUAGAAAGCCAUGGGGUAUUAAGGGCAGUCCCUGUUAGAAUCAAGGACUCUGGAAUAUGUCUAGAUUUUCACAUUUUUGACAUACCGGAGAUUCCUCUCUUGAUUGGCAGACCAAUCAUGAAACUUCUACAGGAACAACCACAACGAGGUCAUUUAGACUUCAAGGUUGGGAAUUCCACUAUUGUUGUUCCUCUUGUUAGAUCAAUUAACAUGAUAGUCGAACCCAAACUUGACCCAGAUCCUAUUGAGGAGAUCUUAAUGGUGACUCAAGAGGAGAUGACCCAACCAUUCUUUAAUCAUGAACACUUUGUUCAAGAAGAAGAAGAGUUGGUAGAACCCGUUGAGCUAGAUAAAAAUGAACAACCUUCACCUCCUUCGAUAGAGUUAAAACCUCUUCCUUCUGGCCUUAGAUAUGUCUUCUUGCACAAUAACCCAAAAACUCCAGUAAUUAUCAGUGACAAGCUUCCCGAUUAUGAAACACAACAACUUGUCACUGUUCUUGAAAGACAUAGAUCAGCAUUUGGCUACUCUCUCGAGGAUCUCACGGGCAUUAGUCCCAUUCUCUGCACUCAUCGUAUCCCUAUUGAUCCCAAUUCUACACCUUCAAGGCAACCACAACAGAGACUUAACAAUGCUAUGCGAGAGGUUGUUAAGAAAGAGGUCCUCAAACUCUAUCAUGCUGGGAUUAUUUAUCCUAUGCCACAUAGUGAGUGGGUUAGCCCUGUCCAAGUAGUGCCAAAGAAAGGAGGAAUGACGGUCGUUAGGAAUGAGAAGAAUGAACUCAUCCCUUAACGAAUUGUCACUGGGUGGCGCAUGUGUAUUGACUAUCGAAAACUCAAUAAGGCUACAAAAAAAGAUCACUUUCCGUUACCCUUCAUUGAUGAAAUGUUGGAACGGCUUGCAAACCACUCUUUCUUUUGCUUCCUUGAUGGUUAUUCUGGAUAUCACCAAAUCCCAAUCCACCCAGAUGACCAAGAAAAGACUACCUUUACAUGCCCAUAUGGAACUUAUGCGUACCGACGAAUGUCGUUCGGAUUGUGCAAUGCUCCAGCUUCUUUCCAACGGUGCAUGAUGUCUAUUUUCUCGGACAUGAUUGAGAAGAUCAUGGAGGUUUUCAUGGAUGAUUUUACCGUCUAUGGCAAAACCUUCGAUCAUUGUUUGGAGAAUUUAGAUAGAGUCUUGCAGCGAUGUGAAGAAAAGCACUUAAUCCUGAACUGGGAGAAAUGCCAUUUUAUGGUUCAGGAAGGAAUAGUGCUAGGACAUAAAGUGUCCGAGCGUGGUAUAGAGGUGGACAAAGCAAAGAUUGAAGUUAUUGAAAAACUUCCACCUCCCACGAAUGUGAAAGGAAUCCGUAGCUUUUUGGGACAUGCAGGGUUCUAUAGACGCUUUAUCAAGAACUUCUCUCAAAUUGCUAGACCCCUAACUAGUCUUCUAGCUAAGGAUGCACCUUUCAUCUUUAGUGAUGAGUGUCAUGAAUCUUUUCAAACUCUUAAGAAAGCACUCAUUUCAGCCCCGAUUAUCCAACCACCUGAUUGGAAUCUUCCUUUUGAGAUCAUGUGUGAUGCUAGCGAUUUUGCGGUUGGGGCCGUUUUAGGACAAACCAAGGAUAAAAAGCAUUAUGCCAUAUCCUACGCUAGCAAAACCUUGUCUGGACCACAGCUCAAUUACACUACAACUGAAAAAGAGCUUUUGGCUGUUGUCUUUGCUAUAGACAAGUUUAGAUCUUACUUAGUGGGGGCGAAGAUAAUCAUCUAUUCAGACCAUGCUGCUCUCCAGUACCUCCUCACUAAGAAAGAUGCUAAGCCUCGUCUAAUUCGAUGGAUUCUUCUACUCCAAGACUUUGACAUAGAAAUCCGAGAUAGGAAGGGAGUAGAGAAUUCUGUAGCCGACCACUUAUCUAGGCUUCAAUAUAAGGAAACACAUGAUGAGCUUCCCAUAAAUGACUACCUAAGGGAUGACACCCUGCUUAAGAUAACACAUGCAGAUCCAUGGUAUGCAGACAUCGUAAACUUUAUAGUAAAAGGCUAUGUCCCACCUAGUGCAAACAAAAGGAAGUUGCUUCAUGAUAGUCGUUUCCACCUUUGGGAUGAGCCAUAUCUUUUCCGAGUCUGCGCUGAUGGACUCUUGACAAGGUGUGUUCCUAUGGUUGAGGCUACUCAAAUUAUGGAAAGAUGUCAUGCCUCGCCAUAUGGAGGACACUAUGGAGCAUUUCGGACACAUGCUAAAAUUUGGCAAAGUGGUUUUUUCUGGCCAACGAUGUAUGAAGAUACAAAGGACUUUGUCAGGAGAUGCCACCGAUGUCAAAAACAUGGGAAUAUCAACUCACGAAAUGAAAUGCCUCUCACAAAUAAUCUUCAAGUAGAACUUUUCGAUGUAUGGGGCAUUGAUUUCAUGGGGCCAUUCCCUAUGUCCGGGAAUUGCGAAUAUAUCUUAGUAGUUGUGGACUACGUGUCCAAAUGGGUAGAAGCCCUACCUUGUCGAUCAGCUGAUUCAAAACAUGCCAAGAGAAUGUUCCAUGAAGUAAUCUUUCCUCGCUUUGGUAUACCCCGGAUAGUUAUAAGCGAUGGAGGUUCUCACUUCAUCGACAAAAUCUUCCGAAAGUACUUAGCCGAUCAUGGAGUUCGACACAACGUCGCAACACCAUACCAUCCUCAGACUAGCGGUCAAGCCGAAACAUCUAACAAACAAAUCAAAAAUAUUUUACAAAAGACCGUAGAUGAGAUGGGUAAGGGGUGGAAGGACAAACUUCCUGAUGCUCUUUGGGCAUAUAGAACUGCAUUCAAAACACCCAUAGGCAUGUCACCUUAUCAACUUGUAUAUGGAAAAACUUGUCAUCUGCCUGUGGAAGUAGAGUUUAAGGCUCAUUGGGCAAUCAAGAAAUGGAACAUGGAUCUCCACCUCGCUAGUGAGAAUCGUCUGAUGCAACUAUCUGAGCUAGAAGAAUGGAGAGAGAAAGCCUACCACAAUUCAAGGAUGUAUAAAGAGAGAACAAAACGAUGGCAUGAUAAGAGAAUCAAGCACAAGGAGUUUAAGUCUGGAGAUAAGGUUCUACUAUUCAAUUCAAGAGUUAAGCUCUUUGGGCAUGGUAAGCUACGAAGUAAGUGGGAUGGACCAUACAAGGUUAUUGACACUUCAACUCAUGGAGCCAUUACCAUCCAAGAUGACAUAGGUAACACUUUUAAGGUAAAUGGUCAACGCUUGAAAAUCUAUCUUGAGCCACAAAACAACCUGGUAGAGGAACUUGAUGUGAUUGAGUUCAUAGAAUUCUCACAUUAAGCUCUCAUAAGCUCUAGAAAAUUACCUAACCCUUAACAUGUUCCACAAGUUUUGUUGUCUAUUUGGGUUGUGAAGGAUUUUGAGGCCUAAGAAGAGUGAGACCGAACAUGCAGGCCACAAGAGUGAACGACUAUGUCAACAUCCAGCUUGGGGGAGGCACCCCCACGUGUAUCUAGAUAAGUAUUACUUUUCUUUCUUGGUUUUAUUUACUAGUAUUCAGAAAUAAAUAAAAAAAUGCAUAACCAUGAAACCAAACAAAGUUUUUCUUUUGAGUAAUAUACAAUAGUUUUGUGUAAUCCUAAGUUUUAAAUAAAGUAAAAAGAAAGUUUGAUUCAAGUCUAGGUAAUUGACAAACAUGAUAUGAGCAGGUCUGAGCUACUAUUUAACUUGUUCCAAGUUUUGCUAGAGUUUUGGAGAUUUUAUCUUUUGAAAACCUAAAAAUUCAUAAAAAAAUAUAUGAGAUCAUAAUACCUAGAGUCUUAUAAGAUAUAAAUAUUAAAACUGUGGGCACUUGCUUUGUUCAAGCCAUUGUUAAUUCUUGUAGUUUUGGUUGAGAGAAUUAUCAUGCUCCAAAGAUCAAGAUCCUUUUGUUUUAAAAAUAAAAAAAAGAUUCACUCUUCCGAAGUAUUAUUGCGUUAGAGGCAUAGGACUAUGAAAAAAUUUGAUUAGAAAAAAAAAGAGAGUGAGACGAGAGGUAAAAAUGGACAAGUGUCCGAAGUAGAAUUAGGGGUACAAAGAUACCCACCUGAGUGGAAAAAAUGGACAUGUGUCCGACAGUAGAAUUAGGGGUACUUGCUGCCUACUUGAAAAAAAAGAGAGACUGAAAAAAAAGAGAAAAAAAAUGAAAAAAAAAUAGCCCAUGGUCCCUCUAAUAAGCAAUAUGCCAGUAAGAGAUGACAAACUUCUCAAAAAGGUCAAAGGUCUUGAUCUAGGAGUAUGACAUUCCUCUCCCUUACUCCGAGCAUUGACAUAGCAAAAUGCAAAGUAAGUAUGCUAAAACUCUUAAAGCUCUACUUAUAUAUAUCUUUCAAGAAAAGGCAAAUGCCUCGGUUUUAUUUUGCAGACUUAUAAAAAAAACUCCAGAGCAAAGGUAAGACAGAAGAACUUGAGACAUAGUGCUUGACUUGAUUGUUCUGUUUUUCAAUCACUUAAGACCUUAGUGAUAACUUAAAAACCCUGUAGUAAGAGGCAUAAAAGUAACCCCUGUUUUAUUGUUGAUUUUAGCUUUGCUCAGGGACGAGCAAAGGUUAAGCUUGGGGGAGCUUGUUGACGGUCCUUAAUGCUCAUAUUUAAUCAUCAACUAAUCAUAGAAAAGGAUCCAAAUGCAACCAACACCUAGACUUAGGGUUUUAUCUGACAGAAUUCCACGAGUUUUGGUGUUUGUCUAUUUCUGCAGGGGGUUAUCAGGAAAUACGGAAGAAAGGCCCACGCGUCGGGUUUACAUAGAGAUAUUAACGUGCCGCGCAAUUUUCUAUCAUCUAGAAGACUCCAGAAGCCACGGGACCGAAGCGGAGGCCGAGAGGGCUCAGGCACAGGGUGCCCGCCCUCCCUUACUGGGCGCCCGCCCUCCCCCCUGGACCAAUCAGGGCGAAGUUCGGGGAUCAUGCUCCACCGACCUAAUACUUCAAGGAAAACCACACGAUCAAUGUCGGUUUGAUCCGACGGCCCAGAUUCACUUGAAGGGACUAUAAAACCAGACCCCCCUGGCCCCUGGAGAUCAUACCUCUUCUACAGAAUCAAAGCUAGGGUUUCAAUUCUUCAUCCAAGUAGAGAGGAUCCCUCUAGUUCUUCUAGUUCUACCUCUAGUUCAUCUAGAUCUAGUUCUAGUUCAUCUAGUUCUAGUUCUAGUUCCUCUAGUUCUAGUUCUAGUUAGUUCUAGUUGUAAUCUAGAAAAUAGGGAGAGAGAAGAGGAGAGCAGAGGAGGAGGAGCCGGAUCUGUCGGAUCUUCCUCAACAUUGUACUUUUGCAGCAACUGGUUCGUUCUUCAUCGUUCUCCAGGUUCUUCAAUUCAUAAUCCUGAGUUCUUUAAUUACUUUUAUUUACAUUCAAGUUAUUUAUUGGAUUCCCGCUUGCAUCAAGUGCUCUAAUCUUUGCAACAUUAGAGUAGUAAUUAAUAGAUUAGACGUGGUGUUUAGUCUUGCAAUUACCUGGAAUUGCACCCAAUCCUGCGGAUUGUUGUGGUAGCCUUAGGGUAGUGACAGCCCUAACGGUCGACGUAUUCCACCUCGUUCGGAUCGGUGUUUGUAGGACCGUAGUCAGACCUUCCUAGCCCCCCUUCUCAUCUCUUUCUGUGGUUAAUGCUCUGAUGUCCCGAUAUAGAUAAUCUUGAAGUAAUUCUUGAUUCUUAGAUCAACUAGAGAACUCUCAGGAAACUUCCUCUCUUCCCACCAAAAAUAAUUAUAUAGUUAUUCUUGGGCGAUCUUGGAUCUUAAUUAGUACACUCACGUUCCCUGUGGAAAAUCGAUACUCUGGAAUACUCCCGGGUGAAAGCUACAUCGGUAUCCGUGCGCUUGCGGAUUUUUCUGUUUGCGUUUAGAAUACCCAACACAAGUUAUCCUUGUUCUUUUGAUCUACUGUCGUGAAGAUCGGGCCACCCUCGUACCGAUUCAUAUUGGUAACCUAUGAUAAGGUCUGAAGACAUACAGCUUGAACAGAACUGUCCUGAGGAGACCGUGAACAGAAAUGUCCUGAGGAGACCGUAGCACCGAGUCAGGUGUGGAGAGAGAAGAUAGUUAUACACGAAGAGAAGGCUCCACCGGAACCACUGACUACGCCAUCCAGCAAAUUCCAGGACGACUGAGAAAACAGAGAGUAACGUUCGGAUGACUUAAAAACACCGAACGCCUCGCCAAGAGGUAAACUUGGUAGUUAUCCUUUUUCUUUCAAUUAUUUAAAAUAGUUUGCUUAGUUAAUCAGGUUCAUAUCAUCUUGAAAAGAAAAUAAAAAUGUUAAAAAUAGUAAGCCUCAUGUGAGUAUGCUCAUGGCAUAAAACCUAUAAGUACAAUCACUGUGGUGGCGUAAAAAUGAAAUGAAUAUAUUCCUGUCGUAUAAAAAUAAAAUUAUAAAAAUAAAUUUAUGAUCUUAUUAAAAAGAGUGUAACAUUUAUUGGCGAGGCUCAACAUGAUAAAGGCUAAGAGAUUUUAUGCUAACACUUAACCAGUUCCACAAAGCUUUGUUGUCUAUUCGAGCUCCACAGAAUUCAAGGAUCAAAGAAGACUAGCAGACGGAGGACAUCCUAAUCGCUGUUAGGGUGCUGCUGACAUUCAAAUACACCUCCGCCACCUGCUAGCUACAUCAGGAGAAAUUACGUCAAAAUCCAGCUUGGGGGAGAGUACCCCCAUUUAUCCUGCUAAGUGUUUCUACUCACGUUUAUAUUUUACUCAAAUAAUAAAAAGAUGAAUAAUCAUAAAAACCCAAAUAAAGAUUUUUGUGUUUAUAUAUAUAUAUAUAUAUCUUUGCUUAGUUUGCUAAAUAAAUAAAUAAAUAAAGUUUGCUAUGAACCCUCAUGAUAAGCUCUCACAUGGAAAUAAUGAAUAGUUGCUCUGCCAUGACUAGUUCUCAAAAUUGAAAUCUCUCUCAAGUUUAGGUAUGACUGUUAUUAAUUAAGAUUUGCUUUAAACGUGAACUUGUGGGAAGAGUACUUGAUCUAAAGUCUAAGUUGUUAAUGGAUAUGAUAUGGGAAGGUUGAGCUACUGUUUAUCUGUUCCUAGAGAUGCUAGAAUUCUGGAGAAUUUUAUCUUUGAAAAUCUUUAAAAUAACACAUGAUGAGUUUCUGUAUGAUGAGAGUUUAAAUUUCUACCACAGCCAUAUAUACAAGCUUGCUAGACUUUGAGCCACAGAUUUACUUUUUACUGCUUAUGAGCAUUGAGUGUGGUCAAGCUGUGUAGACCCUUAGGAGCUUGUCAUGCGGUUAAAAUCAAGAUUCGCUUGCACGUUCACUCAUACAUGCUGCUUCUACUCCGGAAGUACGCAUCCACAUAUAUCCAGCCAUUUCCAUCUCCAGAACCACCCAAAAAUAUUCUACUCCUAAUCUGGGAGAGAAUAGCCAAAAACAUUAUCGUAUCCUUGUUAUUCCCCGUGAAAUAAAUGCUCGAGAUAUUUUGGUUACUACCACUUGCUACAUUAUUCCAGGAGGGUGAGUGCUCUGGAAAUAAAAAGGGGCAAGUGCCUGGAACCUCGAAAUAAAAGAAAAAGUGAGACGAGAGGUAAAAAUGGACAAGUCUCCGAUAGUAGAAUUAGGGGUACAAGAUACCCACCUGAGAGAAAAGAAAAAUAAAAUAUAGAGCAUCUCAUUCGCCUCAAAAGCCUCAAGUGCAAGGAAGGUAUGUACCCCCUCAAAAGAGCAAAAGUAGAAUUAGACUUUCACCAUUAUUUUCACCAUGAUUACCAUUCAUUCGCCACACAUGCACAUCUUGAUUUGACUUAUUGACUUGUUCUUCUGGAUCCAUGGUUUGACUAUGCAAUAAAUGUCUUGUAAGUAUGUAUUAGCUGUCUCCCAUCUAUGAGCUCCAGAUAUCAAAACCUUAUUAGAGUAGGGUGAGAGAGAAGGCAAUGCCACUAUGCCUCAUACCAAAAAUACCACAUCCUUUGAGAAGGCAUAUACCAUUACUGCCUUGGUAAGGAUCCAGAAAUACCACAAAAGAGAGACUAGAGAGAGUCAUAUAAGGAAUCUCUGAGUUUUAUUUAAAAAUCUACAAAAACUCUAGAGCUAUAGUUAAUCGAAGAACAAGAGACAUGGCGCUUGACUAGACCGUUCUAUCUUUUAACUACUCAAGACAAAAGUGACGGUUGCAAGCCCCAUGGUGGAAGGUAAAAUGUGUAAGUUUAAAUCUUAACAGUUUACCCUAACCCAG